UUUUUUUUUUUAAAUUUUUAUAUCUAUAUUUGGGAUAGAUAGUAUUACCUUAUCCUCGGACAGGUCCUCAUCCACUAAGUUCUGGCCACCUGCCCAUUUACCCCCAAUGUUUCCUAUUUUUUAAAGAAUGUUUUGAUUCUCCACCUGUCAAAAAAGCAGCUCUUUAGAUAACUUCUUUUUAAGAUUCCGGGAAAAUAAACCCUUCAAAAUAAUUUAUUUUCACAAGUUGACCAACGUCAAUUAGGGAAAUGAUGAAUAUUGGGGUUGUUUAGGCUAAGGGCUUACACAGCCCCCCAACUUGUCCAUUGCCAAAAGAGACUCCAACAGCCAGGAUUUUGAUUUUGAUUUAGUGUGCCAUAAAUGAUACAGUUUGUGUGAUUUGGACAAUUAGAAGAAGGGUGUGGAAUGAAUGAAUUGCUAAGAAUAUGAUAGCAUUGGUGAGACUUUCGUGAUAUAUAAAAAUUAUCUUUAGCAUGCCCCCUCAAGCUCAAAUUGGUAGUGUAGAUUAACUUGAGUAUAAAAGUAAUAUCAAAGACCAAUCCAAGGUGUAGAUGGUACCAUGAACCCAAACAAUAUCAUUAUGUAACAACACCGUUUGAAAAGCCAACACUGUCUAAAUGAACUUUUCAAAUAGAUCAUAUGAAUAUGUAAUAACUAAUGUCGUUUGAAAACUGGCAUUGUUGAAUUUUAUCUUCAAGUGAAUGAUGCAUAAAGAGGACUAUGUUAUUUGGUAGCAAGGGCGGUUUAAAUUAGCUUUCGGAUAGAUGGUGAGACACCGUCGGAAAAGGGUGCGAUGCAGUGCAUCUUGUGAAGACAACUGCAUGUUAGGGACACCCAAUUGGUUGCGUGUUGGGGCCUAUGCAGACAAGGCCAAUAGAGUAUGUGGUGAGGCCCUUCGUGGAGGACCCUAUGUUGGUUCUUGGGGAAAAGCGAUUGCGGUAGAGAGAACUCAUGAAAACAAGCUUGUGGCUUUGAAGAGAGGUUCACUGAGUUGACAGAAGUGUGUCAUUGGGCGUCCAUCCCAGCGUACACUCAGUUGUUCCACGGGUGCCACGUGCACCCAACGCACUCGAAAAUUCCCUCAAGGUCUCCAAACUUCGAUACCAACGUAGAAAAUGAGAAGAAGACGGAACGGUUGAGUUACUUACAUGACUCAUCAACGAGACCUCCAUGAUAGACGGACGGAAUUUGAUUCCAGUUCGUGAGCACUCAGAAGGAACCUAAAAAAUCUAGGAAUCCCUGCAUAAGACAUUUACAUAGCGCAAUGUCAACAUUCAGACAUCACCCGUGACAAUAAUUAUGAUGGUUACAGGGAAAUGAAUUUGAUGACGGAAUCGGGACAGGGCAGGCCCUACCCCCCUUUCGAAUAAGCUGGGACGAUGGAAUUGCUUGGAGGAUAUGUAAAGCCUUUUGGGAGGAUUCUCCAAGAUAUCCUGCCACUCACUUUGGAUGGCCCUGCUCUCAAGUCUGUCCGAAAGAGAACAGAAGCGAGUGGGUUGUCAAAUUGGGCCUGCCUAGCGGCAGACACAAUCAUCCCUCGCGAUGCCGGUCCGGCCCAUGCCUGCGAGCGUGGAUCGUACUGAUUUGAUGCCUGAGAGGUCCAGUGAAACCGGUUCCUAAUCGUGAUUAAGAACGUCGAACGGGGUUUAACCCUCUGAUCACAUUUUCCUAAGAGCCCCCUAGAAGCUCUCCCAAGAACCCACUUGGAUCCGCUCGUGAUUUCACGAGCAUACCCACUUUUGAUCAGAGUCUGCACAGCCGAUCCGAAUCGGGACGCCGGCAAUAUCAUGCGCAUUUCACCAUGAUGAUGGGUCGGGGCGAUGGUUGGAGAUAAAGUGAGUAGACAACCAAGGCGACGAGGGCUCAAAAAGAAAAGGUGACUUUAUGGUGCCUGCCUAUAUAAGCCGAGGCAGAUAAAGAGGCACGACUACUGGAGCUCCGGCACUUAGCAUCAGUACAGAAGAUAGCAACAAAUCGAACAGGAAAAGCGUCUCUCUUUUCUCUGUAGUUUUGGAUAUGGUUUGGCACUUUCAUGACCCACGUUACAUGCGGAACGCUCGAUAGGAUCUCUUCCGCACGCUUCUCUCGGCUUAUCCUUUCUCUAUAUAUACUCAAUUCUCAACUCACUUUCCCAUAUCACGAGAAAUACUUGCACAGAAUCUGAAGAAAGAACAACUGCUCUGUCUAGAUUUGCAUAAUGUGUGCAUUCGAGUACACGCAUCCUGAUGCUGAAAACAAGAGGCCACCGAGACUGAAGCUGUUCGGCGUCCCCGUCGCUGGGUCCGAUGAGACGCCGGUGAUGGCACCGUGUGAUGGAGAAAUCAGGAAAUUCGAGUGCCAAUAUUGCCGCCGGGAGUUCCUGAACUCUCAAGCGCUGGGCGGCCACCAGAAUGCACACAAGAGAGAACGACAGCGGGCCAGGCGAGCCCAGCUCAUCAGCGACCGUCAUCAACGGCCGUUGACGAUAGGGGGUCCCAUCGUAUCUACACAUGCGGCGGCAUUUGGACCAUUCAUUCACUCCGCCCAGAGAGUGCACGGCGGAUUCGCCACGUUGGCUAGGUUCCACAGUGGACCGCCCCCGCCAAUUCCAAUGCAGUCGCAUGGCGAUCCCGGCCAAUCUUAUGUUGUACGGGCAGAGUAUAUACGAGCCAUGGGUCGUAGCAGCAGGCCCAUGGAAUCUCCCCAAGUUGAGACAAAUGAAGUUGGGGUUGACCUACGCUUAAGCUUAGCAUCAACCUCCAAAGCAUCAUAAACCGGCAAGAUUUCUGGCUGCAGCGUGAGUUUAACUAAUUUUCUGGAGACUUAGUCUCUCAGGCAUCGUCUGAGUUUAUGCUAUGCUAUAUACGCUCAUUUUCAUCAAUAAUGUAUUCAACCAUAUUAGUAAUAUCAUUUUUGUCCCUAAAUCCAGGAGGCCAAUUCCUGCGACCGAAUCCGUUAUGCAAUUAUGUUCUCGACCUCAAUUAUACAGGGAAUUGAAAUGGUAAAAACAAAUGAACAUGCUCUACAUUUCCCGUUUAUGAUUUCAAAAUCCCAGUUGAAUUUACAAUCUCAUUCACAAAGGGAGAUAUAUUGUUAAUUUACCUAUACCUUUCUCCCAUCUAUUUGCCGUCUCACCGGAGAUCAACCACUUCAAACUUCAACUUAGAGUUCAUAUAGACAUGCGAACAGUGUUCAUAAAUGGGGCUACCAUCCGAAGGCUCCUCAUGUGGGUGAAACCCGCGUUCUUGGCAAUUGCGAAUCACAUUGACACCUCCCGGGUCAGAAAGAUGGAAUAUCCCAUGUGGACUGUAAGUUGAAACGCAUGAGUAGUAAGCACGCUAACUGGUAACUAGCCGAAUGAAAAUUUAAGAGCGAACACAUCCACUUCCUAACCAAUUAGAAAGGAGGACUGAAUGCGUAAGAUUACCUGGACGUGUCUGUAGGUGCCAUUACAAUCGCAAUUGCCUCAGGCAACAUAAUCUACAAGUCCAGAAAGCAAAUCUUAUCAGGAGAUUAAACCCAUAAUUUGAUACCAUAUUUAUAGUAAUGAACCUAUCUAAUAACCUCAAAUUUACUUCCCUUUGUUAUUGAGGUUAACUAAGAGACAGUACCUAGCCUUAAGAAAGUUGUAGAAGCAGAUUAUACUGCUGUUAUCUUAAAAAGAAGCACUCUUGUUUGUUAAAUAAGUUAUACAUUUACUCCAAAAUCAUGGAUGACUAUGAAUACUUGUUCUUAAAAACAAUCCUGCAAAUGGACAAACUUCAAGUUGAACAGCUAAGACUACAGUAUACAUUUUAGAAAACAAUUUGACUGUAGCUUUAACAACAUGGCAUGGCAUCAGACAGAAUGAACAAAAUAAUUACCUGAUAUGAAUAAUGUGUGUGGAGAUCCACUGAUGACAUGAAGCAGGUCUGAGAUGGAUGUGUCUGUAAAUUAUGAAAGUACCUUAGGUAUCAGGUACUGGAGCGUGAAAAAAAAAUCUUGACUGAUUGUAAAAGUACAUUAAAAAAAGAACACUAUACGAUAAACUGAGCAUAUGCAUCUCCUGAAACAAUUGCCCUAAGAAUUCCUUCCCUAUUAACUGGCAGUAUUAGCUGUGGCAGGACUGACAGGGGUUUCAAUAAAGAGGGAGUUGAGCAGGCUGCUAGGAAAUGGAAAUGAAAAACGAGAGAUACUUUUUUUUUUAGAAAUAUGGAUAAAUGGAAGUUUAACUCCAAACCAAGGGGCUUUACAAGGAGAAGAACCAUAAUUAAGUUAUAUUCACACUAGUUUGUAAAAAUUAGAAAGAAUGAAUUUAUAUAUUCACAAUUCACAGUGGUAACAGGUAAACUGCCAAAUAUUGAGAUACGCGCAAGGUGAACUCCCAGUUGUAACGCACAACCACAAAACUAAAGUCAUAGGAAAAAAUCAGCAGGUUACCAAAGAGAGAACAGACUAAUGAGGAUUGUAAUAGUAGCUAGACAGAAUUGGCAAAGUAGAAUGUAGAAAAACUAAAGAAUAUGACACUCAGUGUCUACUCUUACAACUAUUCACAUUGAAAUUCUCAUCCCUCCUCCACCUUGUGUAUUCAAAGUCACAUUUCUAGUUUCUAUUAUUCAAAUAAUCCACUUUUAUAGUACCCAGAAGAAUUAGAUAAAAGAAAAUCUUUGAAUCUACAUGUUUGUAUCUUUCAAACAGAUGAUAUGCAUAAUGAUUCAAUCAAUCCAGAUUUGUCUUAAUUUGCAGUAAGUCUAGAAGUUAAUGAUUUUGUUUCCUAUUUGAAAAUUUUGUGAAUAUCUAUCCCAAGUGCCAAUCUGCAGUGUCACUUUUCCAUAGAAUCUGACAGACUUCAAAUCACGUUUUCUUCUUUAAUACCAUCCACUGAGAUUUGCCUCAACAAAAGCUUGCUUCUAAGCCACUCUCAGAAAUAUUCUCAACAAUGAUUUUCACCAUCUAAGGAUUUGUAUCCACUAGUCUUUCCUCAAUUAUCUAAAAUAAGUAGAUGCCUUGAACGUAUGUAGUUUGACAACAUCAAGCAGGACUUGCAAAAUCAAGGAAUAUUCUAAACAAAGGAAUGGAGACAUAAAUGGCAGAAAUCCAGAAAAAUUGGAUAAAGUCAGUGAUAAUGAAGAUGACAGAAUGGUCUAUAACACUUACAUGAAUCCAUCCAAGAGGGAAGAGUGAUAAUCUGUCCUGAACUUCAAAUAUUUCUUCUUCAUUCAACGUCUGACACUGAACAUCAGUACAACAAAAGUUAGGGUACAUAAAAAAAUAACUAGGAUGACAGAAAACUUGUAAUCAAAAGAAAAGAUGGAUCAAUUCUCCCAAGUAAUAAUGUACUCUCAAAAGACCAAUUUCCUAGUGUCAUCAUUCAGCAUCAAAUCAAGCUACCCAUAAGCAAUUGCAAAGUUAAUUAUUUAGUGACAGGCAGCUCCUUCUGUAACUGGUAAGUUAUGCUGAACUAAUAACAGACUAAGAUAAAAAGUCAUAAGCCAAUUGCCACAUUGCUACAUUGAAGGAAAUGAGCAGAACAGUCAAACUUGAAUACCGGAUUAGAGAUAUACCGAAUCUGAAGUGGACUCUUGCUUUGGAAUAAUGAGCGUAGUAAUAUGGAAAACCCUGUUUUUCUACAGCAAAUAAGGAACAAGUCAAUUUUAAUGCUCGGCAACCUCAAUUCCAGGAUGAGAAAUAAACAAUAAAGAAAGCCCCAAAAAAAAGGGAAGUACGGGUCUUACCAGUGAACCUGCAAGAACCCCACAAGUUUCCAAGUUCUUUGCAGUAUUUUUUUUAGCCAAUCGCAAAAAGUCUUGCAUCAUAUUUACAGGCUGGGGUGCAAAUCAAGCAGGAAAACAAGAAAGAAAAAUCAUCAUCAUGGAGAGAAACAAUCAGGACAGGUUUUGUCCCAUGAAGUACAAAAGUUUGUUUUUGACAGCUAGGAGAACAUGAAAAUCGUUCAAGAAAGAUAUAUUACAUCAUCAGGACAGCAAACUCACCACAUGCAGAUUUUGAUAAGAGCUUUCACUAUGCUGCAAAGAUUUUGCAGGUCCAGGUCUUGGAUCUGCAACUUGAGAUGGGGGGAUAGGAGCAACGCCCUGCCGAACCUGAGCAAGAACAGGUGGUGGAGCAGGUUGCUUGAUACUGACAAACUGGAAAGGAUCUUCCAUUACUUCUGUAGCUAAUGCAGGCCUAGACUGUUCAGCAGGACGUGACCAUGUACCAUCAUCCAAGGAGAGCACUGAAUCCAUUGUAGAUCUAGGUGACCCUCGAUCAUUAUCUUUGACUGCCAUAUGAUCGUAUUGACCAGCAUGAUUGAGGCUGUUUCAUCAUUCACAAACAAAAAUAGAGCUAUUGGAGCAGCCUCAUAUAGGAAAUAUAAAAAGGAAUGAAAGAAUACAUUCAUUGAUUUAAUCCAUUCUUGUGCAAAAAUUAGAAUGGGAGUAAAAAACUGAAUGCGGUAGCUUAUCGUUGCAACAAAUAAAAUGCUCAACAAGUUCAAACCUCAACUCUUCUGCAGGGUUGAAGUCUGCACUGCAUGGAUAUUGGACCUGUAGUUUCAAGCAACUAAGUCACAUCAUCUUUGCACAAUAUCGCAUGCAAAAAGUGAGAAUAAUAUAAGGAGGUAUAUUACCUUUAUCUCUGCACUGGGUCCUAGCCACUGGCCCUGAAGGCCAUUUGGGCCUAAUAUAGAGUGUCUAGACAAUGUUUCCUUUUUGGGAACUGGAAGACUAACAGAACUGCAAAAUCCUAUCAUAAAAUUAGUGUUUCAUACUAAUAUGCUAUUGCAGCAUGCAAUAUAAUGUAGAUGUAUUCUCACAAAUAGAAGAAGAAGAUGACAACAAAAAGGUGAAGCAAAGCAGGUUAGGGAUCAGAUACUUAAGGAGAGAAGCAGCUGCUUUAUCCAAAGGGCAGAUCAGUGUUAUGAUCAAUGUAAACCAUCAAAUAAUUUAGCAAUAUACAUAAUAGACCUGAAGCAAGGACAAUGCUCCAUUACGUAGGUCACAGUCAUCUAGUUUCAUGCUUAAAGCAAUGAACCGAGGCAAUUUAGCAUCUUGACAAGUUUAAUCCAUUUUGCUUUAGUUUGAGUCAACCGCAGGCCCUAGGGCAAAGGUUUGCUAUCAUUCUAAGUUUCAUGCGUUACCUUUUCAUCAGAUUCAUUACUGAGAACUCCAUGAAAACAGAGACAUUUGAACUCGUCUAUGCAAACACAGCCAGGUGCUGCUCUCAAAUGAUUUCUUCAUAAAUAUCCCUAAAUCUAUAAACCCCACUAUGGACCAAUGAAGUGUUCAAAAUUGAGCAAUGUGGAACAAAAUUGGCCGUAACCCUUGAUCACAGUCCAUUUUGAAUAUUUGUACAGGAUAUGCCGAGAAAAAGUAGUAACUCUGGCAGUAUCCUCCAAUACAAUCGAAACCAUAGAUACAAAAUUAUGCAAGCCUUACAAAACACAAGAAAAACAAUCAAGCAGUCGCAUAAGCUUACAUCUCCAGCCAGAUAUCACUUUAUAUGCUUAUAAUGAGAAGGGGGAAUAAAGAAAAAAAAAACAAAAAAAACCAAGAAGUAACCCAAUCAUAUCAGACCAUUCAUCUAAACGAAAAGAACAUGAUAUAAAUAAUCUUAACAAUACUCACAGCUUCUGGAACUGCUUGUCAACUCGCAUGGUAUUCAAUGAUGAACUCUGAGUUUGGUCAUUUUGAUAUUUCCAAAGAGAAGAAGAUGCCAAGCUAUCAGUCUGCAGUAAACAACGAGGUCAAUCAGAUAAUGCCCACAUUUUCAGAAGAAACGGACAAAUCACUAUUCAAGGUUAAUCUUUCAAACAGUGAGAUUCUCUGGCCUAAAAAGGCAAGGAAAAGUUACAGUGUGAAAGAAAAUUUCCCAUCAAAGCAAGUUUUUGUACAAUGUACAUGCCAAAAUCAAAGGAGGGCUAUGUGAUUGUACUGGGGUUGUACAUCAGAAAAGCCUUCUUUAACCUUCUUAUCUGUGCCUGAGUAAGAACUCCUACUGGUGGAGGUCCAUUCCAGUGGAAGUGUCCUAGAGGCAUAUGCAGUUCUCUCUGAAUUGCCAAAAUCAAGCAUUUGCGACUUUUGCGACCCUGCAUCAGCUUCAUUUAACUCAUCCACUCGACGCUGGAAUUCUGGUUUCAAGGAUUCAAGCUCGGCUACGACAUCAAACAAUUUCUGCGGAGAUAAGGCAAGAAUGAACUUAAAAAUGUUGUCUAACUUUCUCAAGUUAGAUGAAUGAACAAUGUGCACCAAUAUACUUCACCUUUCUAUAAAUCGACCUUUCUUUAGGACGCAAAAGCUGGUAAUCUCGAUGAAACGGUAUAGUUUCAGACACCAAACUGAAAGAUAUCAAAAGAUAUCAAAGAUAUGAUGCAUCUGUACUUUCAAUAAAGGAACAGAACCAAAGUAAUGGCCUGGCACAAAGCCUUUUACCUUGAAAACCUCAGAAGGAUGAUAUACAAAUCCACAAUAUUAUUCUCCUCCCGGUACACACUUGCCUAGACGGUAAAUGAGAAGAUACAGAUAAUAAGAAAGUGCUAAGAAUACCAUACCCCAGGAAAAAUAGCAUAGACAACAACAAAAUAUGAUGCUCAUGAUACUCCAAAGGAAACCUGAAGGCGGAACUAUUUCCUAUUCUAAGUAGCAAUAAAGCACAAGGAAUGUUUUGGGAAAGGGGAAUGGAGUAUCAAGGAAGUUAGGACCGGCUGAAAGAAGGACGGCGGGGAAAGUUCUCUAAGAGCUAAUCCAACUCAUUUUAAAUUGCAUCAUCCCCUGUUAAGACCCGUCAUUCCAACAAAUUGAAGCUAAUCUUUUUUUUCCAAGUUCCAUUACCUCUUGGAUCUCAAAGACUUCGACAGGCACUUAAACAUACCCGCUGUCCUUCAGACUUCCCACACGGAUUGAUGCUAAACUAAACUCUGCGCAAUCCCCAUUAUUUAAUAAGCAAAUGUACCACUCACGUAUGCCUAUAUCAUACAGCGAUAGCUGCACGGAAAAACGCUACAAAAUACCAAAUCAGCAACUCCGCGAAUCGGCCUCUACUACUAACACGGUCAUCGAAGAAUCACGCGACACCGGCAGGCAUUCUUCGCACGAGAAAGACGCACCCACGAGCCCAGCUCGUUCUCGACCUAAGGGCAAUCAAAAAGAAGAAAAGAAGGCAAAAAAAAAACCCUCCCCAAACUCUCCGAUUCCGAAUCGCGACAAAAACCGAUUUCGACGCGAACAAAGGCGCGCGGAAUCGGGCGCGCCGAACGCGGCGAGGAGAGGCCGGGAGGCACCUGCUUGAGGAGGUUGUCGGCGAUCCGGUAGUAGUAAUGGAGGGGAAUGCGAUUGUCGACCUCGACCCUCCGAGCGAUCGAGUUGACGUUGAUCUUCAUCGUCCUCCCGUCCGGCGAAGGUUGCCGGCGCGGCGCUGCGGCGACUCCGAUCCCGUUCGCUGCCGGAAGGAAUCUCUCUCUCUCUCUCUCUCUAAAAGCGGAGAUCAAUGGGGGAAGACUUGUCCGCUAAGGAAAGGAGGCCGGGGGAGAGAGCAGGUUCUUCUCGCAAUCUCGCAUGUCGACAUGGUGCUGAUCUCUCGUUUUUUCUUUUUUUUCUUUUUUUAAAUCAUUAUUGUUAUUAGUAGCAAAAUUGGGUUUUUGUCAUUUUAAUUUAUUUGAAAAGCUUUAUGGUAUGGCCGCUGGUUUAUAUAAUGCCAUGAUAUUCGUUACUAUUAUUUUUUCUUUCAUUACGAUUGUAUUAUCUUUUUAUUAAGAGUGAGUGGAUGAUAUGUCGAUUAACAUUAAUUUUGUGACUAUUCAAGUUCGAAUUUUUCUCGAUAAUUAUAACUGUUAAGCGUAAUCGAUUCCCGAACAAUCCAAUUUCUAUUUAGGAUUGAUUUCGCUUUCUCUGGAAUUGAGAAUCGGAUUAUCACAAAUUGAAAUGUGACCUAAUUGGACCUCACCAAUCGGUCUGGCCCAAUUUUUGGGUGGAUAAAGAGUAUUGAUAGGAAAAAAAAAUGGUUCAAGGGACUCAAGUCGAUAAACAUAAUUUACAGUAGAACCGCAAAUUGACAUUGGCACCUCCUUGCUCGAUGGAUCCGCACCGUCCCACUCUAGCAUUUCUAAUUGGCCGUACAAGGAGAAGGGAGCAAUCCGAAGCGCAAGAGAGAGCAUAAAUCUCGAUCCUCGGAUCAUGAAGUGCAAUACCUCCAGAGCAACAAAAUCAUGGUGGCCACGAUAAUGGAUGCGAGUGACUCGAGCGAGAGGGUCUUAGACUCCGGCGAGACGGACGUGAGGCGCAAGCGACUCAGGCGAGAGGGUCGAGCGAGAAGACCUGCGAAGGCGAGGCGCGAAAAGUUAAAGAAGGCUGUGGGUUCAAAGUGGGUUUCCUAAUAACCUAUUUAAACUCAUUUAUUUUUGUGCUUUACUUUUUCAAACCCAUUUCUGACUCAAAUUUAAUUUUCACUUGACCUAUAUAUGAUCCAUUUAACUAAAAAUUGGUUAUAAUAAGGAUUUAUAACCCAUUUUGCUAGUUCUAGGCACGAUUAGGGCUUAGACUUGAAAAGAGCAAGGUAAUGACUAAACAUUUCAUCAAAUCAAAGUGGAGCCUUGUGAAGUCGAGGAGCAAUUGGGGCUUGGACUUGUGAAGGUGGCACCGGUCCGGUGCCCGAGAGUUGAGCGAGAGGGAGUGACUCAAGAAAGAGAUGGAAAGAGCGAGGCGUGAGAUUGAGAGUCAAGAGGAAAAUCGGAGGCGUGUGAGAUGUGAUUUGGUUUCUACGCACGUGGACAUCGGUGAUGUUCUUUAAAAAAUUAAAAGAAAAAAUAAAUUAAUCAAUCUGAGCGGUCUGAUUCCCACUUUUGAAAUAAAAAAAUUGGACCGCCCGACAUCAAUUUUAAUUUUAUGGAAUUGGGAACUGAAUUGACGCAUUUGGGAACCACUCAAAAUUAACCGAUCCGGUUCUGUCGGCUUCCGGUUCAGAUGAUUCUAUAUGCUCAUCCCUAGUACUUGAAUUUGAGUAUUGUCAUCAUUAAACAUUGUUCCCAUGGACUUGAUGUAACGCCAAUCGACUAGAUUAACCAUGCACGUUGGAGUUCGUUACGUUCCAAUGGUCAUAGAGAGUGUCGGUCCAACUUUUACACAAGGGUUUUUACUUUUUAGCACCUCUACUUGUAAUUUUUAUCGAUUUACCUAGGCUAAAUAAUUUCUACGAUGUUGCCAAUACUUCAAAAGAACACCUUCGUGAGUGUAUUCGAUUGAUAUGAAGUUACGUACUUGAUAUGCGUUUACCUAAUUACCAAUCCCGAGUUUUUAUGAAAUGUUGGAUCAUAUUUUCAUUUGUUUAUUGAAACCCGUGGAGUGAAACCUUUUCCUUGUAAAAGAAACAGAAUAAUUUGCUCAUAUUAAACCUUGUUUUUCAAGAAAUUAAUCAAGUUUUCUAAUGCGUAACGACACAUCAAUAGGCCAAAUCUCAGAAAAAAAAUCACAUAUUUACAAUCAGGAACGAAGUGACCUCUUGUCCAAUGGAUAAAAAUGACCACCGUUAUCCUUCUUAUUCAAAAUAUCCUAGAUUACGGUUGACGUGGCUAUAAUGCUCAAUUGGUGCACCGAUGUGGCAAUUUUAUCAUUUAAAAAGUUUAAAAAGCAAAUCAACAAAUUAAAAAAUUAAUGACGUUGGCCAAAAAAAUUCAAAAAUAAAUCUGAGUUUUAAGAAAUAAAAAACUUGUAAAAUAAAAAUAAGAAAACCGAAACAGGUAUGCUCCUUCACCACCUCCUCCUCUUGCCGGCUUGGCGCGUCAUCGCGGCGUCGUCCUCCUCUGUCUCCGCCCCAUGACAAUCAUCCCCGGCCACCGAUGCCGGCCCCCAACUGGUAUGCUCCUCCUCCUCCCACCAGCAACUUUAUCUUUUAGCAGUGUCAAAAUGUGAUAAUUUUAUUUCUACGGUGCUGUGACCGACGUUAUGCCCACGCAUAUGCAAGGUGUUAUUGCGACAUGAAGAAGGUAGUCGUUUAUGAUUCUUGGUUGAUUUACCAUAUGAUUAAUAUAUAAACCUUUGUCAGAGUCCAUUUCCAAUAUUGAGCAAUGUGGAACAAAAUUGGCAGUAACCCUUGAUCAGAGUCCAUUUCGAAUAUUUGUACUGGAUAUGCUGAAGAAAAGUUGUAAAUCUGGCAGUAUCCUUCAAUACAAUCCAAACCAUAGAUACAAAGUCAUGCAAGCCUCACAAUAACACAAGCAAAAACGAUCAAGCAGUGCCGUAAGCUUACGUCUCCAGCCAUAUAUCACUUCGUAUGCUUCUAGUGAGCAGGAAAAAAGAAGAAGCCACAAAAAACAAACAGCCACAGAAAGAAAUUGGACGUAGUAUAAGGGGCUGAAUUUGUCAGCAAAUUAACGGAUGCCUUCACCUUUGAAUCUGCCGCCACGGCCCUCUUCCGUGUUUCCUCAUUUUGUAUGGCGGAACACCCAGUAUUGAAGGACGGCAGCUCGGUUCGCAUGAGAAUAUCUCUUUUGGUCUCCCCAAAUUCAGGCUUGAGACUAGCAAUCCUGUCUUGUUCUUCCCGUUGAACAUGGUGGCGAACAUUUGGAGUAACACGUUUGUACGGCCGAAGUUCUUCCCACCGUUUCUUCCUUUUGCCAUUUGUGUCUUGCACGGCACCCUUGGUGGGGUUGCUAGAUUUGGCCAUGGAGCCGCAGCACGAACAACUGGAAAAAAAAAAAAAAAUAGCAACAAGAAUAAGAAACAAGAACGGGUCAAUUCACUCCCGCUCUGAUACCAUGUCGAAAACAAACAAAGAACAACUAAAGACAAGAAUUUAACAAGGUUCGCCAGUGUGCCACGUCCUUAACAAAACUCUCACGCUCUUUUUUUUUGUGUCGUGAGAGAUAAUCUGCCAUUAUUCUCUAUACGUACAGAAACAAGGUUGCUACAAUCAAGGAAACAAGCAAACAUAAAAGGGAAAAUAUCAAGGAAAAAUAUCCUUAAAAUCAAGAUGCAGAAAUAGGAAUACAAUAUUCACAUCUCCUUUCCAAGAAUAGGAGCACGAAUUCUGCCAACACAAGAGAACAUAAUCUAAAUAAUGUUAACAAUACUCACGGCUUCUGGAACUGCUUGUCAACUUGCAUGGUAUUCAAUAACGAACUCUGAGUUUGGUCAUUUUGAUAUUUCCAAAGAGAAGAAGAUGCCAAGCUAUCAGGCUGCAGCAAACAAUAAGUCAAUUAGAUAAUGGCCACAUUUCCAGAAGCAACGGACAAUUCACUAGACAAGGUUAAUCUUUCAAACGGUGAGAUUCUCUGGCCUAAAAAGGCAAGAAAAAGUUACAGUUUGAAAGAAAAUUUCCCAUCAAAGCAAGUUUUUGUACGAUGUACAUGCCAAAUUUAAUGAGGGCUAUGUGAUUGUACUGGGGUUGUACAUCAGAAAAGCCUUCUUUAACCUUCUUAUCUGUGCUCGAGUAAGAACUCCUACUGGUGGAGGGCCAUUCCAGUGGAAAUGUCCUAGAGGCAUAUGCAUUUCUAUCUGAAUUGUCAAAUUCAAGCAUUUGCGACCCUGCAUCAGCUUCUUCUAACUCAUCCACUCGACACUGGAACUCUGGUUUCAAGGAUUCGAGCUCGUCUAGGACAUCACACACUUUCUGCUGAGAUAAGGCAAGAGUUGAACUUAAAAAUGUCGUCCAACAUUCUCAAAUUAGAUGAAUGAACGAUGUGCACCGAUAUACUUCACCUUUCUAUAAGUCGACCUUUCUUUAGGACACCAAAGCCGGUAAUCUCGAUGAAACGGUAUAGUUUCAGACACCAAGCUGAAAGAUAUCAAAGAUAUAAUGCAUUUAUACUUUCAAUAAAGGAAUAGAACCAAAGUAAUGGCCUGGCGCGAAGCCUUUUACCUUGAAAACCUCAGAAGAAUGAUAAACAGAUCCACGAUAUUAUUCUCCCCCCGGUACACAUUUGCCUAGACCAUAAAUGAGAAGAUACAGACAAUAAGAAAAUGCUGAGAACACCAUGCCCCAGGAAAAGUAGCAUAGACAAUAACAACAAAUGAUGCUCAUUAUCCUUCAACAAAUCCCACACAUAAAACCUGAUGACAGAACUAUUUCCUAUUCUAAAGUAGCAAUAAACCAAGCGCAAAUACAACUCAUUUUUAAUUGCAUAAAUGCCAAUCAUAAAUAAGACCCGUCAUUCCAAAAAAUUGAAGUUGGUCUUUCUUUCCAAGUUCCAGCACCUCUCAGAUUGAAAAGACUUCAAUUGGCACUAGCAUUUUCAAGAACAAGUAUUUUUGUUCUUUUGUUCCUGAAGUAGAAAUGGAACAGAAAUGCAUUUGAUAAGUUUUUUUAUUCUCGGAAACAUAUCUGGAACAAAAAUAAUAAACAAAAAAAAAGUUACUUCUUGUUCCUAAGAAACUCAAGAAUGGAGAAUCAAGAAUGAAGCUUUUUCUUCCUUUUAUUUUCUUCCUCUUCUUUUUGUCCUUUCUCUUCCUCCCUUCUUUGCCGGCUAGCGACCGGCCAGACAAGGCCUGGCAACCUCGCCGGAGUGUCACCACCCCUAGCGAGGUUGCCUCGAGGUUGUCGGCCACUGAUGAGGCCCCUUGAGACUCGCCCAACCACCGACGAGGCCCCCCCAAGCCUCGCCCAACCACGGCAAGGCUCGACCUUGCCGGUGGCCGGGUGAGGUCACCUCGCCCAGUCACGACAAGGAUCGGGGUGACCUUGUCGGCGGCCGGCGACGCUCUUUCGAGGUCACUGAUCGGAUGGAGGAAGAAAAAGAAAAAUAAAAUGAUAAAAUAAUAAAUAAAUUAAAAGAAAUUAUAAGUCAUAAAAAUAUAUAAAGUCGUACCAAACAUAUUUUUUUUCUUGGGAACAGAAAUUUUGUAUAAUUUCCAAACGCUCUAAAUACUCAAAAACUGUUUUUAAAAAUAGAAAUAGAAAAAGAUAUUUCUAAAAAAAAAAAAGAUUGUUCCUCCGAAUAGGCGAUUACUUAAACAAACAGGACAAGACAACACACCCCUGCCGUACGAAACGACGGGGGAGUUCACACUUCACACGGAUUGAUGCAAAAUCAAACUCUGUGCAAUCCCCAUCACGGUUUGCGCCGGUAAAGGCUCAUCAUUUAACUUCAGAUGCCAAACUGUAGCAUUUAUCUAAUAAGCAAAUGCACCCCUCACGUAUGCACAUCUCAUACAGUGAUAUCUGCACAGAAAAACACUCAAAAAAAUACCGAAUCAGCAACUCCACGAAUCGCCCUCUCCUACUAGCACGGUCAUCGAAGGUUACUUGCAUUCUUCGCACGAGAGUGACGGACCCACGGACCUCAGCUCGUUCACGAGCUAAGGGCAAUAAAAAAGUAAAGAGGCAGAGACCCUCCUCAAUUUCUCCGAUUCCGAAUCGCGACAAAAACCGAUUCGACGCGAAUAAGGGCGCGAGGGAGAAUGCGAAGCGCGGAAUCGGGCACGCCGAACGUGGCGAGGGGAGACCGGGAAGCACCUGCUUGAGGAGGUUGUCGGCGGUCCGGUAGUAAUCGUGGAGGGGAACACGACUGUCGUUCUUCUCGCGAUCACAUGUUGACACGGUGGUGAUCUCUCGCUCUCUCUUUCAUUAGCAAAGGUGCUUUUAUUGCCUUUCAAUUUAUUUUUGAGAAACUUUAUCAUACGAUUGUACCAUCUUCUUAUUAAGAGCGAGUGAAACAUGUGUCAAUUAGGAUUGUGACCAUUCGAGUUCAAAUUUCCCUCAAUGAUUGUAGUCAUUACGGUUGAUCGAUUCUUGGACAAUUCAAUUCCCAUUUAGGAAUCGAACCGGUGCGAUCAAUUUUGCUUUCUCUAGAAUUGGGAACCAGACUGUAAUGAUCAAUAUAGUGUGAUUCGCGAGUGGCCAAAUAGAAUUGGAGGAGAAAGAAAAUGGCUCGAGGGACUGAACUCGACAAGCAUAUCUUAAAGUAGAAGCAUGAAUUGACGUCGGCACCUCUUUGCUCAGUGGAUCUGCGCCCUCCCGCUCUAGCAUUUCUAAUUGGCCGUACAAGGAGGAGAGAGCAAUCCAAAGUGCAAGAGCCAAGGCAUAAGUCUUGAUCCUCAGGUCAUGAAGUGUAAUAACCCCCAAUGAGAGAUAAGCGAGGCGCGAGCGACUUAGGCAAAGCGAAAGGAUCUGUGAAGGCGAGGCGCGAGUAGGACUUGGACUUGGAAAGAGCGAGGUAAUGACUCGUAGUUCUGUCAAAACCAAGGCGGGGCCUUGGGAAGAUGAGGAGCGAUUAGGCCUUGGACUUGUGAACGUGCACCGUCCGGCAUCUAAGAGUCGAGUGAGAGUGAGCGACUCAGGCAAGAGAGGGAAAGAGUAAGGCACGAGAUUGAAAGCCGAGAGGAAAAGAGGAGGCGUGUGAGAGGUGAUUAGGAUUUUACACGUGGGCAUUGAUGCUGUUCUUUACAAAAUUAAAAGAAUUAAAUUGGUCCGAGCGGUCCAGUUCUCAUCCUUGGAAUCAAGAACCAAACCACCUAGCCCCGGUUCUAAUUUUAUGGAACUAGGAAUUGAACCGACAUCCUUGGAAAUUGGCCAAAACCAACUACUUUGAUCUAAUUUUGAGGAUUACCAAUUCAGGUGUCUUCGUCAAGGAAAGGUUCUCUCGACAAAUAUCUUUUAUUGAAGCUUCGGUUUUAUUAUUUGAAAUGGAUUUUUGUGUCGUUUCGGAAAGGAAGCAACUUGUUUAAACUACAGGCAAACAAAAAUGCGGGAAAACAGGAGAAAAGUAAACGUGCAAUUGAACGAAAAAGUGCAAUAAAAGAAAAAAUAAGUAAUGAAAUAAGGGUUUGAUUGUCGAUUUUGGCAAAAGGUUUUUUUACACGAAUGCCUCUUCGGCUAUUUAUAGCCAUGAAUGCUUCUUCGGCUAUUCAUAGCCAUAUCCUACUCUUUGGCGAUUAUUAUUUUGAUUUCAAAUUAUUUCGAAAGUUUCGACUCCCUAAUCCCUAUCAAUAACUGCUCUGCUUUGUCGAUGUUCUCGCUGGUGCCGACUCCCAUAACUGCUCCCGUUCUUAAUGACGCCAAUGAACGAGACUAACCAUGCCCAAUGUAGUUCGCCAAAGUCCAACAGCCAUUGAGAGUGCCGGUCCAACUUUUCUGAGAAGAUUUUUAGUACCUCUAGGCUCUACCCAUAAUUUCUUCAAUUUACCCAGCUUGAAUAAUCAAAUUUUAACACUACCAGCUCACAGACGAUGGAUUAUAAUUUCUUCGAUAUUGCCAAUAUUUCAAAAGAAUACCGUCAUGAGUGUAUUCCAUUGGUGUAAAGUUACGUACUUGAUAUGUGUUUACCUAAUUACCGAUCCCAAGUUUUUAUGAGAUAUUGGAUCAAAUCUUCAUUUGUUUUCUAAAACUUAUAGAAUAGAAACUUUUUUCUUGUAAAAGAAACCGGAUAAUUUGCUCAUAUUAACAUUUUCUAAUUUGUGACAGCACAUCAAUAGGCCAAAUCUCAAAAGAAAAUUAUGUACUCACAUUAAAAAAUGAAAUGAUCUCCAUUUUCAAAUGUCUCGAAAAAUCACCUACGCUCGUCCAAGGGAUAAAAAUGAUCACCAUCAUCCUUCUCAUACAUAAUAUCCUACAUGGCGGACGACGUGGCUGCGGUGCUUAAUUGUUGCACCAAUAUGGCAAUUUUAUUAUUUAAAAAGUUUUAAAAUAAAUCAAAAAAUUUAAAUAAUUAAUGAUGCUGGCAAAAAAAAAUUCAAAAAUAAAUCUGAGUUUUAAGAAAUAAAAACUUAUAAAAUACAAAUAAGAAAACCGAAACAGGUAUGCUCAUUCGCCACCUCCUCUUGCCGGCUUGGCACGUCGUCCUCCUCCACCUCCGCUCCAUGACAAUCAUCCCCGGCCACCAUGCUCCUCCUCCUUCCACCGGAAACUUUAAAUUUAUCUUUUAGCAGUGUUAAAAUGUGAUAAUUUUGCUUCAACAGUGCUCGACCAACGUUAUGUACACUCAUGGUGUUAUUGUGAUAUGAAGAAGGUAGUCGUUCAUGAUUCUAGGCUGAUUUACCAUAUGAUUAACAUACGUUAUUUUUCUUCGGAAUUUGAACGGAUGAUACAAUUACGUAGGCAAUUGGGCGGAAACUAUCACGUUAAAGAAAGCAAGAUCGCAUCUUGAUAGGGGCACUAUACGAUGUGAACGUGAAGGACAGAAGAACAGCUUCUCUUCAGCCUUAAAAACCUUUCUCUGCGGUUCAAUCUUGUUGAAACAAACGAGCAUGGAGUCUUGCUGGAGUUUUGACUCAUCAAUGGAUGCUGGAGGAAGGCAGAGUACGAUGUUCCAAUUCGAGAACCUCAGAGAGGCGAGUCGCUUGCGGUGGGCGAGAGGACAUUGCCGCAUGCCUGAAGUCAUGACAGCGGCUGCCUGAUGAGCUCGUGACAUGGCCCGUGAAUCUACCUUGGCCAUGUUCGUGGAGUUACACAACUGAGAGAGAGAGAGAGAGAGAGAGAGAGAGAGAGAGCAAAAGGGGUCGCUGAGCAUGGUGGUUGCUGGGAGUGAGGUGCCGCCGGUGGCAGUGGCGGCAAGGGAUCGGGACUAGUUAGAUUAACCGAUGAAGGAUAGAGAUAGUGAACGAGGAGACUUGUCUGAUUCAUUUACUAUUUGACAGACAAAAGAAAUAAGACGAGAUAGAACGCACAAAUACAGAAUGGAAGAACAAUUAGACGAGCGACACGUGGACAGGUGGCGACCAAUGGCUGCUGUCGGCACUAAGCUGAUCUGUGCCCUUACACUAAUCCUCGUGCAUCAUAUCAUAUACAUUGCCUCACAUCAUGGCUAAAGUACUAAGUAUGCUUUAUUCCAAUACACCGUUCAUAUACUCUGUGUCCAUAUCAAAACUAAAUAAAAAAACUCUCUUUUAAGGCACAUCAUCUUGUACUAACAGAGAAGAAGCAACCACCCCAUAGCCACCAUCAUGAUGGAGAAGAUGGCCUGCUUGGAAUCCUUAGGUGCACCAUCUCCUCCGGCUUGAAUGUGCUCGGCCACAUUGAAGUCACCUGCAAAACCACAGAGCUAAUGAUCGUUAAUUUUGCUCAUUGAUGCUGAGAGGACGUCGAGCAUGCUGUGAAUUUCACUUUGGUAAAUAUCAUGUGUUCAGUGUGGAAUGGUAUCUGUGGAUGAGUUUGCAAACAGGCAUCAUCUUCAAAAGCCCCGAGACUAACUACAUGAACUGUUAUUCAUCACAUUAAACUCGCCAUUAAACUUGCCAGUGAAGAGAAUGUGUGCGCAAGCAGUAGCAUCGUGUCAGGUUAUGGUGAUACAAUUACAUAAGCAGUUCUAGCAAAGUUGGCGGAACCAACCUCUUUGAGAUCCAUGGCUGCAUCCUUCAUGAAUCGUAUCUUGGAUGUCCUUUAUCGUCGCGUGGUUGUCAAAUAUGAAGUUUGACACAAUCCCGUCGAUGCAUGUGAGCACCAAGUUCGUUUCGCUCAGGCACGGCCCAUUACAAAACUCAUCGGUGUAUUCGGGAGGGACAUGGAGAUCUCCACUGUGAUCCAACCUAUAGGAUUCCUCGCAGCUCUGAUAGAUCUACAGGAUAAAGACAACACCAUGUCAGACCAGAAGAACUACACCACACUGACGAAUUCUCUCUGGAGAACUUGGAAGGCUCAACCAGUAGCUUAGAGUCCAAUACAAAUGAGCAAUUAGCAUUGUUAUGUUAAGAAGGUCCUAACUUCUGCUUACAUAUUUGUCAUCGAAGCAAAGCAAAGCUUUGGCAACGAUUUCAGGUGUUUCAAACCCUCCUGCCCCGCCUCCACCGGUCCCUCCUGCGCCGCCUCCCGACGGAUUAAAACCACCCCCGGCACCUCCUGCUCCCCCUCCUGCUCCGCCUCCUGCUCCACCUCCUACUCCGCCUCCUCCUCCACCUCCUACUCCGCCUCCUGCUCCCCCUCCUGCUCCACCUCCUGAUGGAUUGAAACCACCGAUUCCUCCUAUCCCGCCGCCCGGCUGAUUAAAUCCACCUCCUAUCCCGCCGCCUGGCUGAUUAAAUCCACCGCCACCUCCAACCGGAGUCACUUGCCCGUCGGCCGUUCCUGUGUGAACCAUGGCAAAACAUAACUACUGAGCAUCAACUAAAAAAGGAAAUUCAUAUUAUAUAAAGGGAAAAAAGAGGGAAGAUAUUCAGCAUCGCAUACCAAAGUUGCAGCAGAAAACAGAUAGACAUGCAAGAGUUAAGGCAUAGACCCUCAAUCUGCUCCUCACUGGCAAUGCCAUUGAAGAAGUUUUGCAGAAAAACUGAAGCUCAAGGAUGGAACAAGACAAGUUUAUAUUUGAGUUGCUUUUUAUAACUUUGAGGUCGUACCAAACCUUGGAAAUGUCAGGUUGGAUGCUAAAUUGUAAAUUCAGUGCUGAGUUAAGCCCAGAAGUAUCAACCUGGAAAAUGACCCCCGCUUGUGUCACACAUUUGAUAGAUUACCCAACUAUAGUCUCUCUCAUUUCUGUACUUUUUGACCAUCUGGACGUGGCCUACCAGUCUGGACAAGCGAAAUUUUCAAUCGACAGGUGAGUAGAGAAUAUACCAGAUGCAAAUUAAAAAAAGAUGGCCUCCUUUGCGUGACAUUAAGUGUUGCCUAAAUGCACAAUUUAGGUAGGUUCAGUUUGGAAAAAAAAAAGAGAGAACUGAAUCAGACUUUCUUUUGGGCAAGACAUUUAAGGCAAAGGAUGACUUAAGAGAGAGAGAGCAGUUGGAUUGCCAGCCACCAAACGCAAAAGCUUGGUGAAGGCAUUUAACUCAAGUGCUAAAUUUCAAACUACCAUGUUUUCUUUAGCGGUUACAUUCUCUGUUCCUUCUCCUACAAGUAGAGAUUACGUCCCACGAGCAGGGGAUUUAAUAAGUAGUUUGGGUGAGCCAAGAAAACAUCCGCACGAGAGCCAGUUAUUUGCACGUAUGGACCAAGUGGUCAUACCUGCGCAUCUUGGGAAAAAAGGUUACAACGGAAAAUUCUUCGACACGCUCGAUUCUCUUCUGGAAACUUGAUACACCAUAUAGAUGGAAAAACGCUAAAAUUCAUCUAUUCAAAUCAAACAAAGGGCAGAGAUAUAAAUUAUUAGUAAAAGACGUAGACCAAACCCCCACGUGUGAUGUUCUCUGUUCUCGAAACCAGUUAACAUGUCUAGGGACAAAUGUGGUACAGCAUGUCCACGGAUUAAGAUGAUCAAAUAAUCUAAACGGUGAUGGCGUACAGGUGAACUUUAUCCGCAUUACACAUAAUGUAAACAGUAUAAUAUCCAUGGUCAUUAACCACAUUAAUUUUAGAUUCUUAUCAUGCUUCUCCGUGCAAAGCCCGCCGGGGCAGCUCUCAUUUCUGCCAAGUAACCAAGUUUUCUGAAGUGGAAGCUUAUGGAAUGAGUCUGGCACAUCUUCGUAUGACAACAUUGAUCUUCCGAUCCCCUAAAGCCAACUUUAAGCACAGAAUAUCAGGGUGGCUUCCUGUAUUCAACGUUCCCAUGAUUGAAGUUCACUUUUCGCCUUUGUGAGACAAUGCCAAUUCACAAUUUCCAGUCCUUGACUUUGGCAAAUUACUUAUGACAAUCAGUUGGAUCAACGGUUAGAGCUAUUUUCUGGAUUCUUCUGCCCACCGAAAAAAAAGCAACCAGAUUCAAGCUGCAAGUAAAGCAAGAGGCCUCACUUAGUUACUUUGUCAUCAAUAGUUUGCUAAAUUUUAUAUAACGAUAUUACACACUCAACAAGAAAAUAAAACACGCGACUUAAACAGUAUACUAUUCAUCAAAAGCACAUGACUCUGGUAACUCUGCAACAACCAUCAGGAUAUGGUUUCGAUUUUCACAGGUAUGACCCAAUGUCACAACCUACAAAAACACGUUGAUAGCCUCAUGUUACCUUAACUAGCCAGCAUCAGGACUCUAUUUUUGGACUAAUACUCUUGUUGAAUAUGGACAGUGCAUGCUGCAUGAACGCACUCAUCUAAAUUCAUGGUACUCACUUUCCCAAAUUUUAUGAGGUCACAUCCUAAAUGCUGCGACAAUCAUUGGUCAUCCCAACAUGGUUAACAGUCUUGGUAGCAGAGAAUAUAUAUACUAAGUAAGCUGAGAAAAAUUGAAAAAUGAAAUUCUGGGCAAGAAGCUGUCACUGGUAUAGAAGGAAAAUAGAUAGCUAAACCCAAAGAUUGAGUUCAAUCACUAAUUUUGUUGACAAACUGAAGUUGCUGAACAUGUCUUGGAAUGAUCAGUGUCACAUUUCCAACUGGAUCAUAAUCCCGACUGAUGACUAGACACUGUCUUACGGAAUCCCCAAGGCUAAAUACUUGAAUUACAAAGCUUACCAAGCCCAUCUUGUGACUGACUCAAAGUUCAUUGAGAUCUGAUAAUGCUAGUCUUUCUUAAGUACAUAAACGCAAUAUCUCAAAGCAUUUAGAACUUUUGAGACUCCCCAUUAAAGGAAGAACUAGCCAUCCUAUAUACGAUUGUCAAAUUAAAGAAAGGAACUAUAUUACCACAAUUUGCUCAACUUCAGAAUUUACACACACUCCUUCUAACAUGGUUUGUAUGCUAAAUUGUCCAAACAAUUAAAUUUCGCUCAAAUAAAUUACCCAAAAUUCCAGCAGAACUUAAAAGCAAUUCUGUAACAAAUAAUUGAGAACUGUAUCAAUAGCCACAGAGUUGAAUUCUUAAAAGUACCUCUAGCUCUUGAAGUAGUGAAUGCCACAAGAAAACAGAACGUCAGAUGUUAUCUAGUUGAGUUGCCUUCAGGCUCGAUGUUUUACAAUGGAGAACAUACUCAUGAAACUCCAGUAAUAACAAUCCUUGAAAACCUCCCCUAUACAAUAGAGAUAACUUUUGAAAAGAUCUCUUGCUUAUCCAUAUCUUUACUCUCUAUUGUUUGCCUCUCUAAAUUGUCAUUAUCAGAUUUUGGCCUCUAGAAAAUUGCUUGCACUCUAACGAGGUGCACAUCCAUUUCCAUCCGUGGCAAGAAGCUCCUUGGCCUCAUCAGCUCGCCCUGAUUCCUGCAAUGCCUUAAUUAAAGCAUUGUAGGUCUGCUUUUCAGGAGUCAAACCCAAUGUCAACAUUGAAAAGAAGAGCUUCCUAGCCCUCUCAACACGAUUUAUCUUACAACAGCUGUGAAUAAGUGCGCUGAAACAAGAAAUGUCUGGACUAAUUCCAUCUGCUUGCAUUUUUCUUAGCAGUGUCAAUGAUUUCCCAACAUUUCCAGUAAAACACAAGGAUCGGAUCAAUAUGCCGUAAGUGAUAGCAUUUGGAGGGACGCCCCACUCCUUCAUUUCUGCAAAACAAUCAAGUGCGUCUUCGAUCUUGUUUACUCUACAAAAUCCAUCAAUUAUUGCACUAAAAGUGACAACAUCAGGUUUAAAACCAAACUGAAAAACCAUCUCCAGCAGUUCCUGGGCUUUUCUCAUGUCUCCUUCCUUGCAAUGUGCACUAAUGAUGGUGUUGAGAGUCACGAGAUUAGGUGCAAUCCCAAUAUUUUGCAUUUCUCUCAAAGUUUCCAGUGCCCUGCCCAGCAUUUUGGUUCGGCAGAAGCAGUCAAUCAGCAUAUUGUACAAAAAGACAUUUGAGACUUGCCCAUCCUCAUAGAUCCGAUUUAAGUACCGAUCACCAUCCUCAACCCUUCCUGCCUUGUAUAGUGCUUCAAUAAGUGCAUAAUAAGUACUGAACCCUGGCUUCACACCUCUCUCAUUAAAUCUAUCAAGUAGCUCAAGCACCUCAUUCAGAUCCAAGCCUUUCACCAAGCAAACGAUAGCCAUGUUAAAAGUCGGACCAUCAGGGACAUAACCUCUAUCACCAAACAUUCUCAAAAGACCAGCUACUUCUCUUGCCAUAGAAUUGUUUGAAAGGCAAAAAAGCAAAGUAUCACAAGUUGAAUUGAUCAAGCCUGGUUCCUUCACCACAAAGCUACAUAACAACUCAAAUGCCUUCUUGGCAUCAGCGCAUCGAAACAUUCCAUGAACCAAUGAUCUGAUAGUGGCUUCAUUCGGAGGCACAUUGCUUUUCCUCAUGGUUUCUAUGACCUUGAAGGCUUCAUCAGCCAUUUUUGCAUUACAGAAACCAUCAAUAAGUAUCGUGUACGUAUACACAUUAGGCUUAUAACCGAUCCCCUCCAUUUGUUUAACCAAGCGACGCGCCUCGUCCAUCACGCCAGCUCGGCAAACCCCAUGAAUAAGUAUGUUAUAAGUGAACCUAUCCGGUUUGCAAUUAUCAGAAGCCAUCUGCUGGAACUUCAAAUAAGCCUUGUCCAACGAAUUGGCUUUCACCAACGCGUCAAUCACCGCAUUAUAUAUCCUAGUAGUCGGACUAAACCCCAGAAACGAAAUCUGCCCAAAAACCUCAUCGCAGUACUUAGCCAAUCCUAACCUGCCCCAGCUGCCAAUCAACACGCAAAGCAAAUCUUCCGUGAACCGCCCGCCAGAAUCCCUAAUAUCCCGAAUCAGUUCAGCCGACAAUACAACAGGGCCCUUCCUAUGCAACACAUCGGCCAAAACAGCCUUCACCGAUCGAUUCUUGGCGAGCGCGGGGCUGAAACCCGAUACCCAGAUGUAAAAUUUCAAAGGGUGUACCGGGUUUUCUUGAUUCCGCAAGACGCUCGCGACGGACUGCGCGCUCAGCGCCGCCCUCUUCGCUCGGUGCUCGUGGGUGAGCAGCAAGAACCAGUCUUUUCUCGAGAGGACCCGAGAAAUGUAACCGCGGUCGAUCUGCUCGUCACGUGAAUCGUGGGUUUUCCUAGGAAAGGCGUCGCGCGGCAAAGGCUUACCUCUGCCCGGCGCUUCCUGUGCUUUGCCAAUGCGUUCCCGCCGAACGGGUGGUUUGGGUUGGGACCUCGAGGGAGGAUUACUUGGGGCGAGAUUCUUGGGAGCGAAUGCUUCGUCGGGGAGGGCGGUGACUGCGGUGGAAGCCCUAGAAGCUAGAGGAGGAAGCCGUCUCAUGUCAUGCUUUCCCCUGGCGAAUGAGUUUCAGUAGCAGGCGGAGAAGAGGAGAAGAACAAAGAAGACGACGAGGUUGAAGUUCGUCCGAUGCAGGGUAAACCGAUCAGUGAACCGGUUCGGUAUCAUAGCUCUAAAAAAGUUUAGGUCGACUCGAUAUAUUUUUUUUAUUAUAUAAAUAAUAAUUUUGUUUUUUUUUGUGACCUAGGAAUCUCCGUGCACCGCUUCGCAGUGGAGAGUAAACCCUGGGUGAACUGAGCUACCACCACAAACCCAGCCAUAGGUGAAUCGAGCGUUUUGCAUUGAAGCAACGGGGACGCGGAGUCUCGAACCCUUCCCCUGCGAAUGGGGUACCAAGUCUUAACCAUCGCCCGCUAUAAUUUUUUUUUUGAUAAUCUAGAAACUACCGUACAGCCGGCGUUAGUAAACCUAAAGCAUUAGCACGGGAACUCACCACCCACGGCACCCCACUUAAAUGGCACAUCGUGAUAAGUUGGGGAAUCGAACCCCAGCCUUACGUGUGGCUAAUGUUCGAUUCCACCAACUCAGCCACCACAAGGUGGAUAUAAAUAAUGAUGUUUAUUUCACGAGAAAUAAAUAAUUUAAAGGAAAUUUUUUUGAAAAUGAUAAUUUAUAUUACUUAUAAAAGUUAAUGAAUAAAAAGCAUUUUUUACGAAAAUUUUUAGAUAAAAAUUAUUGCCGAAUAAUGAAAAUAAUAUUUAUUAAUAUUUUAAAAUGAUAUAUACAAUCAUUUUCUAGAAAAUGUUUUGUAAAUUAUUAAUUUUUCUCUAAAUAAAAAGAGAAUAAUUUUUUUUUCCUAAUUUGACACUUCAACCCUGCCCUUCCGAUUGGUCUAGGAGGAAGCACUUCCUUUUAUGAGAACAUAUUCAUUUGCAACGGUUAAAUGAAAAAAUAUGCUUAAUUACGUGGCAAAUUUUUAAAACUUAUCACGGUAGUGCAUUUGAAUUCUCGAACUUUCAUGGAAGUUUGUUAGGUCUUAAAUUUUGAAAUUUCAAUAUACUUGAAUCGUUUCAUUAACUUCAUUAGCCUUCGUGAAAGAAAAAUGCAAUGUGGCUAUUUAUUUUUAUUACAUGUAACAUCAUUUUUUGUCCGUCUACUAUAAAUUUAACGGCGUUAAUGAAGAACUAAAGUGGACCACUUUUAUAGGUUCUCUUGGAGGUUUAUAGCGAGGAAAUUAACCAUUUUAAGCGACUAUAAAUAUAUAUAGAGAGAGACAUACGUGCGAAAAAAAAAUUGCAUAUUUCGUUUAUUUUUUUCUCUUCGUCCCCAAUUCUCCAACGUCAUGGGGAUGAUGUACACAUAUAGGAGAACUUUUGUACCAUGUCGGCCGCACUUGUCUUGGCAAAGCAGCGUUUUGGGCCGCUGCCAUCGCCGCCGCCGAUGCCAGGAGCCAGGCGUUCAACGGCACAAAUGGCGACGUCUUCACGUGAAGGAUCAUGUGGAAGGGUGGUGGCCGAUGGGGUCGGCAUCGAGUUCGUCCCCUUCGACGAAGAGUUCGAUUUCUUUGGGCAAUUGAGAGAGAGCAAGGGCAAGAUGGGGACGAGAAUGCGGACCCGCACGAGCUACAUGCAAAGACCAAAAGGGAAGGAGAUCACGUGCUGUUGUGAACCCUUUAGCAAUGCGUUGCGCUUCGAUUUCCAGCAUCUGCGUUAGCAUGAACAAGAGCCACGAGUAUGCAACUCAGGCUAUUAACACGUAUAUCGGUGAAAAAGGUCUUAGGGAAGUAAAAAAAAAAAUGACCAUCUGAACCGAAACUCGACCCCAACAGAUCCAUAAAAUUUCGGGUUUAGGUUGAAAUCAUGUUGCAGUGCUUCCAAUUCGGGCUUAAUUUCUGAGGAAAAUAGAUUGUUUGGGGACAUGUCCCAGUGAAAGGUGGAGAUUAAUCCAACAGCCACCCGGAAAAAGUUGAUGAGAGUUAGCUCGCAAGCUUGAAUUUGUAAACGGAACACCCACCAUGACAUAAGAAAACAACCCAUUAAAUCAAUUAUAUAAAUGGCCAAUCAACAUGUCCAUCUGACUCUAAAUUCAUGUUUCAUCAUCAACUGGAGAAGUAUUUUAUUCGUUGACUUUCGGUGGGUCUAAUCGAAUCUAUUUUGCCUGCACAGUUCAAAGGAUGAUCAGUCCAUUCAAAACAUCAAGCCCCUCCACAUCUGUUGCUGAGAGAUGUUCAUGGGUCCUGGCCCAACGUGCACGCCGGCCUCCGAGGGGGCAGCUGCUGAUGCUGCGUCCUCUGGAAAACAAAAGAAGGAGAAAGUUUAGUGUAAUCCUCUAAACACAAUGCGAAAUCACAAGCAAUAUCUAAUCUUUCCCAAGUUUAGUACCUCCAGUUUGGGGCGCAAAAUCUCGACCGGGACCUUCGAGCUCUGAUUCGCCCCGGCGCUUUGCUGUGCGAAAUCAAGAAAACAGUUCAAUCUCCAGAAGAAUUUCAGAUUGGCAUCUCUUGAUUAGAUGGAGUGUACUUCUCACAAGUACUUUUAUUUAUAAACGUCAUGAUCAAUCGGAUUACCCAACAAGGCUUUUUCAGUUAUCGGCAUGGACAUUAAAUUUUACCUUCCACAAAGCCCAGUCAGCUGAAUCAAAGAAGGCUCGUGCGUGGUCCUACAACACACAAAUUAGCACUAAAUAAUUAAAAUUAAAUCCGCAAUUACGGACUGUAAUAAGGCGGGAAAAUAUUCAUCUAAUUAUAAAAUUUGUGGAUUUUGCCAAAAAAACAAGUGAUUGGAUAACCUGCCUUUGAGAUCAAUGGCUUCUUCUUGGGCUCUAGUCCUCCAUAUCUCUUCGCCAAAGACGCUUCCUGCGAUUGACAAGAGAGGUAGGCUUGGCGAACAAAACAAAGGCAAAAACAUAGUACCGCAAGUCGACAAGCGCCCACUGAUCUCGCGACACGUGUAGGCUUUCGAUCGUGUCGAUAGCCAAAACCAUGGCAACGAAAAAGAAAUUUCCGAGGAAGUCGCUUUUGCCCGGUUUUGCCAAUUUUUAUAAUGGGCCGGCCGCAUGCCGUUCACAUUACGGGCCCCACAUCGAAUCGAGCCUCGAGUGGGCCACACCAGUCGUGGGCCUUGGGCCCACCUGGUCUCCCGCUGUUAUUACCUUACCUCGCCGCCGACAACUACGAUACAAUCCCAUUACUAUUUCUUGGCAAAAGGAAAAAAAAAAACAAAAAAAGGAAAAACCAAGAAAUUGCAGAGGAGAAAGAAUUUCUAACACGUUCAAGGUAAUAUCUCCACAGACUCCAUAUGAUAAAAUGGCAAUAAAACUGAUUUUAUAAAGUGAUCGCUAGACUUUCCUCGUGAAUUCCAUUUGCGCGAAAACGUCAUCGUUUAAAAGAAAGAUACGAUGCUUCACCCUUGAACAAAUCAAAAUAAGAAGGAUCGGCCCGGACCGCCGGCACGACGCGUCGUUUCGAGCUCAGGGGAGGCGAGGUUCGCCGGAGAAAAGAGAAGGACGGAAGGAAAGAAAGAGAGGGAAUAAUACCUUGGGCUCCGGCGGAGCACCGCAGCCGUCGCCCCUGCCGCCGCAAUCCGCCAUCUCUCUCCAGGAGCUUUCUCUCUCCUCCCCUGCUCCACCGACACAAGAACAACACGCGAUCAGCUUGUCACCGGAAGACAGAGCGCUCUCCUGAAACUCCAGCUUCAAAGAGAGAGAAAGACAGAACGCGCAGAGACAGAGACAGAGAGUUACCCAAAACAAGAUUCUAGAGAGAGAGAGAGAGAGAGAGAGAGAGAGAGAGAGGGAGGAAGAAGGGGAAGGGGCAGGAGCCUCCAGAGGAACAGAUGAUGAGGAAAGGUUUGAGAGGUUGAGUGAGAAGGUGAAACCAGAAUAUAAUAUAUAUAUAUUCAGCAAAAAAAAAAAAUGAAAUAUCUGGAACCUUUUUUCUUCUUUUUUGGUAUGAAGAAUUUUGAACUUAUAAUUUCGUCAUUAAUACCAAAUAUGCUAAAAUAUAGAAGGCUCUUAACUCUGCAUAUCUCAGAUAUUUUUGACUUACUAAUUCGAGUGCGGUUUCUAUAGUUGAACCAAUUUCUUUAUAGAGGACAAAAUGAAGGAGAUCAUCCUCGGGAUGCAAAAGGGACCUUCCUAUAAUAUAAAAUCGUGAAAUUUAAAACCGUGAAAUUUUGUGGCCGGUAUAUUGUUUUAUUGACGAAAGAAAAAAGAGGAGAUUGACAGUUUCUCCAAAGGGAAUUGACUCUUUCUCUAUAUACCAAGGCCGACGUCGUGAUUGGAAAUUUAGAAAUUGCAAAUGGAGCAUGCGUGAAAUGAUUAUUUUUUUGUUUGCUUACUUCUCUCGUGAUAUGCAUUUCUCCCUUUCUCUCCCUUCCCACUGGCCCCACCCGUUCUCCCAUCGCUCUCGUACAGGGGUAUUCUUAAUUUAGUAGUAUACCGAUAAGAAUAGAGAGUAAUAAAUCACAUCAAUUUGAUGAAAAAACCUGAAUUUGAAAACAAAAUUUGACUCGUGUUUUUUACCCUUGAUGACUGGUGAGGGUUGGGGUUCGGUGGAUGAUACAUUGCAUCUGGAAUACGCAUGCACAUUUUGUGCACGAGACAUGUUUGAAAAAUUGAAUAAAAUGCUAUUUCGAAAUUCUCGAAUCAUUAAAUAAGGAAAAAGAAAUUAUCUAUAAAAAAUUUGAUACAUCACAAAGAAAUCUUAUAGAUAUAUAUGGAAAGAUAAAAAUAGAAAAUAUCAUCGACCCUCAUAAUAAUAUAGACAAUUAUAUAGAUAUAUGCAUAUCUAUCAACAAAUUUUUCUCCCCCCCCAAAAAAAAACCAUAGCAAAAGUUCCAUUUUGUGACUAUCGGCUAUGAUGCCAUCAUUGGCAAUAGGCGACAGGUCCAUGGCAAUGGGGCGCUACAAGUCAUAUCACAUACCUUUUGCCCUACUAAAUUGUGAUUUUGAUUGAUGUGUGGCACCUCCUUCAUUUUCAACAUCCAUGCAGGAUCGAAUACAAAACGAGUUUUGUUGUUAAGUAAUUUGUCAACAGCUUCCAUUGACAUCUAGAGUGCAUUUCAUGAAAAAGACGUGCCAAUUCGAGAACAUCGCUCGAAUCAAAAAUAUUUUCCCAUUUUUUCGGCCGAAAAGAAUAAGAUAUUUCUCCCAUCAUUUUCUUUUGUGGGGACACGUUAUUUUCUAUGAAAGAGGCUUUAAUCCAUCAUGGGUGUAAUUCAAAAAAAUCGAAAUUGGCAAUUAUUCAUGGAAAUCAAGACUUGUAUUUAUAAAAUUAGUCUCGUAAAAUAGAGUUUUGUCGUUGGUCAAUUGUGACCGGUAAGCAAGCACCCAGGCACUAAAAAACCCUCUUUUCGUUUGGGUCAAAUUUUCGAAAUGGUGGGCAGGGUGGCUUGCGGGUCAGAUUCGACUAGUCGUUUCAGUCAAAAGUCAACUAAAUUCACUAAAAAUUAGGCCGACUAGAUCUUGACAUGGUCAAAAUGUCCUCGGACCGAUUAAAAAUUCGAGCAAUUUCUGUGUUCUAACAUAGUAAAUUUCACCAAUCGAUUGCUCUAGCAUGCAUCUGGAUAAGAACUAAGUUCAAACUUCAAGCUCUUUUCUCUGCCUUUAUUUGACCAAUUACUUUACAUUUUAUCCAAUCAAAUUGCUCUUUAGGCGCAACUUGAAUGGAUCUGGACUUAAUAAGUAAUGCUACUUCACAAUAAUAUUUUCUUUUGCCUCUAAUUAGCCUUCCUCCAGUUUUGUGGAGAUUCGGCUACAAUACGUAAUCUUAAAAAAAAAAAACUAUUUGUUUAAUAAAAUUAAAAAAGAAAAAAACAAGGCCACAAAUCAGAAUAUUCUUUUCAAUUACAACUAUACCUUUCAUCUUCAAACUUAGUUUAUGUGUCUUGUUCACCCCAAAUUUGCUUGGAGGGUCAUGGAAUGCUCGACGUCGCCGACGUGGAGCUUGUGCUCGCCUAUCGGGAUCCUUCGGAUCCCAAACUCGUCGACCACGCUCAGGUGCUCGCAGACGCGGACGUCGAUCCUGACCCGCCGCUGGGACCCGGCCGACACAUGGACCUUUUCGAACCCGAUCAGCUGCCUCGCCGGGGACCAUUUCCCCUCCGGCGGCGCGGAGAACACGAGCAGGGUGUGCGUCCCGUCCAUCGAGCCGGUGUUCUCGAUGUUGACAUGGAUCCCAAGGGAGGCUGCAUUGCAAUUCACAUGCGCAGCUCUGAUCCCAGCGCUCAGCAGGGACGAGUUUCGGUAGGCAGCACUAAGGCUCGCCACCGGCACCGAGACUUGGGUCGGAGCCUUGACUAGCGAGUGUCGGUAACUGGUGUAGCUCAUGCCGUAGCCGAAGGGAUACACGACGGGGCCUUUGUAGAAGCGGUAGGUCCGCCCGGGAUAGCCCUUCGCCGGGUUCGCCCUCAUGUUCAUGUUCGUCAUAGGAACCUUGGCAACAUAUUCCUGCGGGUACCAAGUCACAGGAAGCUUUCCUCCUAGAAAAGGGAUUCAGGACAUAUUUUAGAUUCUUCAAUGUUAAUUUUCAAUGCAAGUGCAGGGCAUGAGGAAUUGAAAUUUGUAAAGAGUACCCGGAUUGACAGUUCCGAACAGGACAUCGGCUAUGGCCUGCCCGCCGGCUUGACCCGGAUACCCAGCCCACACUAUGGCGGCGACCCGCGGGUCGUUCUUCGCGAAGGACACGUCGAUCGGCCCACCGCUCAUCAGGACCAAGAUGGUCGGGCCUCUGGAGGCCAUGGCCACCCUCGACACGAGCUCCUGCUGAUGUCCUGGCAAGAGCAGCCCAGUUCUGUCUCUGAACUCCGCUUCGAUCGAUUGGUCUAGCCCCAUGACUAGGACGGUGGCGUCGGCAUGCCGAGCCGCAACCUCUGCCCUCCCAAAGAGCUGGUUCGAGGUGCACGCGACGCCGACGCAUCCUGGUUGGUGGACCGUCCUGCUGUACCUCCCGAUUCCUUGAAAGGGACUGGUGUAGCCGCACGCGACGCCUGCAGCGAAUUUGAAUGGCAAAAGGGUAGGUGCUUAACAAGCGCCAAAAGCAACGAACAAACCCGAUGUACGAUCAAACUCGUACCUGCGUAAUUCCCAAUCAUCGUCACGGUAACGUCGGAGUUCGGCCCGAUGACCGCAACGAGGCGGUGGCGCCUAGCAGAGAGCGGCAGAGCCUGUCCCUGGUUCUUGAGCAACACGAUGCCCUGGCGCGCGGCCUCCAGGGCCAGCUGCUGGUGGGCCGGAGUGCACACGUCCCGCGGCCCGAGGUUCCCGUAGGGCUGCGCCGACGGCUCGCCAUCGAACAUGCCCAGCCUCAUCUGCACUGUGAUCGUGUUCGCGAGGGCCAGGUCCACCUCGGCCUCGGCCAUCUUCCCUCCCCUGAUGGCCGCCUCCGUGUGGACCGCCAGGAACGGCCCGCAGUCCAGGUCCAAUCCUGCCCUGAUGGUGUCUGCAGCCGCAUCUUCCGGCGUGGUGGUGUAGUGUUGGUUCUCGUACAGCACCCCGACCGAGUCGCAGUCCGAGACGAUGUACCUGAUUCGAAAUACCCAACCGAGAUCGCGGCAUUAAUGUAUAAAACCGAGCAAGAACGACCCGUAAUCGGAGUCGUGACGACUCCGAAAGCCUGGCGGGGUGGUUCCGUUCGAAUCCGACGGCCGGUCCUUACCCGUUGAGACGCCACUGGCCACGGAUGGUGUUCUUGAGGAGGUUCGGAUCGGCGCAGGUCGGGACGCCGUUGACCUGGUUGUACGAGCACAUCACGCUCGCCACUUUCCCGUCCACCACGCAGGCCUUGAAUGGUACGUUGUAUGUGUCCUCCAAAUCUUGCUUGCUCACCUAUAAUUAAAAGAAAAAAAAAAAGAAAUUUACAAAAUUUCAUAAUUUUUCACCUUUUGGAUCUAAUAUUAACAUAAUCACAAACACUUGACAAGCACAAUUUACUACUUAGUAGCUUUAUACGGUCUGGAAAAAAAAAAAUGAAUCUCUCGUAGCAACAUUUUUGAAAAAUUUAUCAAACAAAUAGGAGAAUUUUCCCGUGUGGAUUAGUUAUAAUUUGGUCGGAAAAAAAAAAUAUCCGAAUCUUUUCAAGCGACACUUUGGUAAAAUUUAGCAAACAUAUAGGAUAAUUUUUCCAUAUGGAUUAGUUAUUCUAAAUUCAGAUUAUUCGGUCGAAAAGCUAUCAUGUUCUUUUAUGGGUACCUUUUUUUUUUUUUUUGGUAAUAUGUGCAUAUUUUCUGGGAUUAGAGCCAAGGCAAAAAGAGAAGGGCACAGAAAGAGUACAAGGGAAGCAUGGGGAAUGAAAUGAAAUGACCACCGCCCCAGCAGUCUUCUUCAGAUUGCUAUCCCGGGAUUGGCUAAAGACGAAGAGAAACCCAAUGGGAAAUCGCCACGUGGAAACGAAAAUAAAACAAAUUUUGAGGUUCUACCAUCAGACCUAUCAAAUUUUUAAGAAGCAUCCUAGUCAUUAAUUGUCGCUGGUGCUUCCAGCCAAACCUCCCACAAAUAGACAAAGCAUGAAACACAACGACAAAUUUGAAAUUAGGUAUGCUAUGCACAUUUAUAUAUAUGCAUAUAUAUGUAUAAAUUUUUGCUGAAUUUGAAAUUAGGUGUGCAUAUAUAUAUAUGCACAUUUAUAUUUGUUUAAACGUUUGCUGAAUUCUUUGUUCCUUGCAAGCAAUUCUUAGAUGUCCUUUUCACAAGUCACAACCACUAUUUCUAAAGGUGAAGCUAUUCAUUGCAAGGGACAGGAGUUGAUGCCUUAUUGAGAAUAUGUUGCUAAUUAUGAUGAGGGGACCAGCCUAAUUAUUUCUGAUUAUAAGCAUCCCUUUGCUUAAUUUUUUUUUGUAGACACGCCUAAUUAGGAUGGAUACUUAAACAUCUGUUCUUGAUUAUUUUUCUCAUCACUUAAUUCUUCCAACAGCUCUUCUCCUUCUUUUCCUUUUUUCCAUGAAGAUGAUAACUCUAGUAAUUUCUGAUGCAGUCCUAGAUGGUCGCUUUCGACUUACCCGGGCAUUGAAAUGGUAUCGGUCCACACCAUUCCAGUUGUCGAGGUCAUAGGCGGUGUAAUGCUUGCAGCUCGCCGCGACCUUCAGCCGAUUGCCGACGUUGCCCUGGAGCCCCCGGACGUAGCUUGCUGCGUACUUCCCGGCCAUCACGGGGUCCUCGCCCGGCGUCUCCUGGCCCCGCCCCCACCUCGGGUCUCGGAACACGUUCACGUUCGGGCUCCAGUACGUCAGCCCCGCCAUCCCACCGUUGUACAUGGCCCUCGCUUCAUCCGACACGACCUGCAUUCAAAAAUCGCCAGGAACAUUUCAACAUUCGCCACCACAUCCAAUGGUUGUGAUUGUUUUGAUGCAUCAACAAACGACGUCGAAAAUGCGUUGCUGGUCAUGCAUGCUGAGUCAUUGAUGAAUCACAAGUAUAAGGAAACGCAACAGGCCAAAGGCGAAGCUUCAAUUAAUGUCUUUUUGCCUAACUACUUAACCCCUAAGUGUGAAAGGCCAAGUUAGUUAAGCAAAACCCUCACGAAAGUUCCUUUAACAUUGAUUUGAUGGAAAGGGAGAAUGGCCCCAGCUCAAGACCCUCGUCUCACUCAACUAUAAAUAAGUCAUUAGCUUUUAUCAUUCGAAAAAAGACGUGUUAUCUUGUACAAGAACAUAUCGAUUACAAGCUUGCAGCAAACACAUCGAAUCUUGAACAGACGACCUUACUACGAUCGGGUGAUGAUCUGAAGGCGAAAAGCGAACUUAAGAUUUGAUUCCUCCUCGCUAAAGAUGUUGUCUGAAGGACUAGUAAAAUCUUCGGGGGUUUCAGUUCUGUUAUUAUAGUACUGUUGUCAGCUUCCUCAACUCGGGCGAUGAAAAAAAAUCCACGCUAUCUACACAACUUGCUUGCUACGGGACAAAGUUUUACCCAACUUCUCUGCCCAGAAUCCCACGUUCCUUUCAGUAAUGGUCCCUCCCAAAAUCAUCUUUCAACUUGUCAAAUUCAAAAAAAAAUAAAAAUAAGCUAUAAACACAUGUGACUAGCACUCCCGUGUACGUUCCCUUUCCUUAGCGUGAACUUAACAUAUCUACUUUUUAACUUUGAAAAAAAUUAAAAAAAAAAACGAGAUUGGACGCAUGCUUUUGUCAGUCACAAGGCCGAAUUUGACACAUUUGACACAUUUGACGCUGUUGAGACAAGGUUUUUCCAUACCCUUUCGUCGAGAUUUUCGACUAAGGACUACGAGGUGGUCCCCAGGAAUAUCAAAGGGGACGAUUUUACUUUGAAGAAAGAGGCUUUCUGCCCACAAAUCCCAUCUCCUAAAACUCGUUAAAAGGAAGGAGAUUCUCUUCUCCUAAACGAAAAGGGGUGGCGGCAUAAGCUGCGAUUAGAAGACACUGUUUCUGGUAGCACAACACUAUCACGGGUCCGACAGGGAAAGAAAUAUAUAUGUGAAGCAGCUUUUUCGCAGAAUCAUUUGUGUUUUGUAUUCAUGCAUGAAUUUAUGUGCUGCAAUCGAUUGAAUUAUCAAGUUCUCGAUGCUACCGAACUUAAUAUAUAUGUUACUAAAAUUUAACAUAUCUAUAGCAACUUAGGUGUACAUAUAUGUUACCAACCAAACCCUACCUAUAGUGCGGCCAUGAAAUAGAAAUAAAGAAACCCUACUUCUUAUGUUAUCUUUGUUUUCUAUCACGAAUUUUCGUAAAGAGAGAGCGGCGGGACAUGAAACGGUGAGAGCUGCCUAAAGCUGGUUGGUUUAUGAAUAUUAACAUAGAAAACUUCGACAGGAUGGAAAAAAAAUAAGACUUUUCCGCAUAUUAUCGAACAAUGCAGGUUGAUGUGUGAAGAAAAGUAAUCGGCUCUUACCCGUCCGAUCUCCUCCCAGAGCGAGGAGUUGAACGACGCGGCGGUCGUGAUGACCUGAGGGAAGCUGGUGGCCCCGGGGAAGGCCCCACCGAACCUGGUCCCCGGCCCGACGUUGGAGACCCCGUGGAGCGCCUCGGACCACCACUCGUACCCCUGGAUGCCCAGCCUCGGCACGGCGGCCGCGUUGUUGACGAGCAGCCGGAUCUUCUCCUGCAGCGUCAGCUGCCCGAUGAGGUCCCGGACCCGGACGUGGAUCGGGAGGGCCACCCGGCAGAACCUCAGGCCCCUGGUGAGGCCGCUCCGCGGGUCGCAUGCGAACGGGACGCGAGCCGCCCACGAGGUGGGGGCGAGGAGGAGGAGGAGGAGGAGGAGCGAGAGCGCCGCCUUGGCAUUGGCUUUGGCGGCCGCGGGGGUGUGUGGGAGUGAGAGCUUGGUGGUGGUGGUGAGCAGCUUACGUCGGACCAUUCUUUUUCUUUCUUUUCUUUUGGGCAAAAGGAACGAUAAUGGUAUUAAGAUAGAACGCUGUCGUCCUCCCGUGGUAUUAUUACGGGAUUAUCGUCGAGCAUUUAUAGGACAGGUUGGUGACGACGAUGGCGAAUGGAACAGCUCUAACGAUUGAAUUUCCACGUCAACCGGCGAUAGAAAGAGCCGUCCACGAGAAACACAGAAAGAGUGUUGAAUGGCUGGAAAGAUAAAAAGAAAGAUCGUGUACACUACUCACUUAUCCAAAAUAAAGAGAAAGAGAGGAAGACAAAGAGUGUGCGCUGAGUGUUUUUGAGAGAAUAUCGGGAGAUAUAUUGCUAGAUAUUUAGUGAUAUUUUCUGAUAUUUCAUUAUUUCCCAAAUAGGUAGUAAUCUUGCUAGAUUAAGAUAGCUAAUUAUCUCGUUGAAUUUAGAUUACUCGUUUCUCGUAUGCAUUGAUUAAGUAUAUGUAAUAAGCACUUUGAUCACCCACAAGAUAGAUAGGAAAAAUCGAUGGAUGAUUCUACAAUGAGAAACUUGUUUUAAGUAUAUCGGGUCGAUUUCAUAAAAUAUUUCGUUUCAUUUGCAGAACUCAAGUACCAAAUUAGAUUGAUGACCUCAAAAAUUACUUUCAACGGAUUUAAAUAAGACAUGAAAUUAGAAUUCGAUAAAUAAAUAGGAAAAUCUUGUGUUUAAAUGAUGGGAUAGGAGACUCUGAUAAACAUAAUUUCCGAAUUGAAAUGAAGAGCUCCUCCACUGCAAAUCCGAACACGACAGUCUGCUUGCGUCACUGGUGAUUUGGGGGUAUACACAGAAAGAUCCUGAUAUGAAUAAUGACAAUUACUGGCCAUCACCUAAUGGAAAAUAAAAAUUGGAAAGGAAUUAUUUUAUUUAUCUGUAUAUAAUAUUAUUCAUAAUAAAAGAAUAAUGGGCAGAAAAAAUGAAAAUUAAAAAAAGCGUGGUCACGGAAUCGAACUUUUUCCUGACAUAUGUUAUGGGGGAGAUGGAUGGAGGGGCGACUGUCACAUUAGCCGCACCAUCCACGUUUUUCUUUGUUUUUUUCUGCUGCACUUUUUAUCCAAAUUAAAAUGAGAUAAUAUUUAUUUAAUCUCUCUCGUCCUCUCCUGUCCUUCCAUCAAGAAAUGUACAUUAAUUGAUCAAGUUCUCAAUUUGCAAAAAUCGUGUUCUUUAUUGAACGACUAUAUUAUUAUUUUGCAAAUCAUAUGAUCAUUUGAUAUCGAUCCCAACAAAUAACAAAGAAAAAAAAAAGCAAAUUCAAUAUCGAUUUUCCCAUAAAAUUAUGCAGCAUUAUUUUCUGUGCUUUGGAUCGGUCUGGCUUGCAUUAUUGGUUGGUUGGUUGACGCAAUCGUGCAAAAAGUAGCAUUAGGUGAAGAUAUGUGUAGCGAGCUCCCGAGCGUGCUUAGCCUUUCCGUUCUUUCCGCCCAUCUAUACUUCGAAAACUAGCCUCCUUGCCAUACCAUUCGUCAAUAUAGUGCGUUUUCUAGCAUGGUACUUCGUCUAGUCGAAUAAAAGUCGUGACAUAUCGAUGUUAACAUGAACUCAAGACAUGGGCACAAAUCGACGGCAAGAAUUUCCGGCCGAGCUAGGAUUAGGCGGGCUUGCAAAGUCGUGGAUUGUUUUUGAGAUCAUUGGGGUGAGGGAUCUGUGGAAACUCUUUGUCAAGCUCGUGAAGGGGGCAGGCAUGACUUACUGCACUCCCGUGACCGCAGGGGGUCGGUUCUACCGAAGGAUGAAAACGUUUCGGUCUAGUUUUUUUUUUGUCUCUUUGACUGGCUCAUGUGCCUUUUAGCUCUUGUGAACUCUCUCCUCUCAUAGAUGCUGCUUUUGGCUUUAAAAAAAAAAAAUUUGAAAAAUUAUAAAGAAAAUUUAAAAAAAUUGAAGAUGCUCAAGCACCCCUCGGGGAAAGUAAUUUAAUCAUUCUAUUUUUCUGUAUGAAUGUAUCAUUUCUGGUGACUAGGGAGCAUAUGGGUAGCUUAGCUUCCAAUUUUGCUAUAUUGAUUGUAUGACUGGUAAUUUGUGGAGAUGGGUCAGUCGAAAGCUACAUCUCACGUUUUCUAUAGUUACCAAAGAAUCAAGGAGAAGAUUCUCAUCUAACCUAUUGCUAGGUCUAAUUAAUUAAAUUCAUGAGUUUGAACUCCAAGGCUCGAGCCACGACAGAAAUCCGUGAUGGGAUAAAUGGAAGUUUUGGCAUCCCAUGUGAUUCUUCUUUUGUUUUUCUAUUUUUGCUUAAUUCCUAUGCGGCAAUCAAGUUUGUUUAUGGUUUUUGUUUAUAUAGUUUUCCCAUGGAUAGCUGUACAAUGAGGGAGAAUCUUUUCCAUUGAGGAUGGUCUGAAAUGGGACGUGUUCCACUAGGACAUGGAAGUCGAUAGCUUUGCGUCGGUGAAUGGUUCUUGUUUCACAUAUGUUUCAUUUUGCAAAAAGCGCAAACGGCCACACUAAGUAUAUUAUGAGUCUGUUUGUAUAUUUUGAGUGUUUGCGCCGCAAUUUUAUUUUGAGUUCCAAUGCUAAAUUAGCCGUCACGUCAAAAGACAUGUCUUACGAGUUAAUUCUAGUUUUACAUAUAUAAUUCAGGAACGCUCUCCCCUCAUUGGGUGCACAAUUACUCCUACCCCAUUCAUCAUUCUAGAAGCCUUGAAAAUCACUACUUAUCUGGGUCCUCACUGCGACAAUCAGUCCCUCCUCUAGAUCGUGUCAUUACAAGCCUAUCAGUAACUGUGUGAUUCGUUUCCAAACUAUAUUUCUAUCAAAUUUCCUUUCACCUAUGUACACAUGCAAUCACAUAUAUAAUUAUCUCUCAUUCAUCUUAGGUUUCAACAAUUGUUCAUUGAUACACAUCAAGUUCUCACAAUUUAUAAGGUCUUCAUCAAUUUGUUAGCAUUAAGUGAUAAGUAUGUGUAACUGCUUUCUGCAUAUUUUUUUUGAUAUUCACUAUAUUUUUCAAUAUUUCUCACAAAUAUUUCUUUGUCUCGCUCUUCUCAAUUUAAAGAUUCUAAAAGCCUCUUUAUCUCGUCCUAGCACUAAAAUGCUGCGAUCGGCGCCGGUGUUGCUUGAAGAGCGUUGAAAGUCGACUUAGCAAAAAGAGGAAAAGAAAAAAGAAACAAGAAAGAAAAGAAAUAGUUUAUGAUAAUCGUGAGUUUAAGGAGGAAAGACCACUUCCGCUCGUGAUUUCUACGCGUUAUCUUCGCAUCGAUUUAAGUCCGUGUGUACAUAGGAGUAACAUGAAGAGAAUUGCUCAUCUAAUCUCUAACAGUCAAAUAACCAAUGAAAUCUCGCGCUUGUGACUCUUGCUGUUGCCCUAGAAUCCUCAAGAGCGAUUUGAAUUCAAAAUAAUCAGAUGGUUCCUGAGCUCGAAUGAUGAGGUCUGUCGAAAACCUCAUCAGAGAUCUUCGUCACUGAACCCUCAGUUAUUGUGGUUGUCUCUGUACCCUGCAGUGUCCAUGCUCGAAUUCAGCCUUUUCUGUUGGCUUCUUUAAAACCUUAUACAACGAGCCAUAUGAAGCACGAAACUACGACCAAGCAGACCAGAACAAGUUGUCUUAAAAAGCUUUACAUGCCAGUUUGUGUUCUGUCAGCAUAUCUCCGGCAUGCCUGCCGCUUUCCCACUCCCACACGUGAAGAAUUCGAGAAACCGAAUGGAUUCGGCUUUGGGGUGGUAAAACUUUUCCAACUGUGCAGCCAUAAAUUCGAAUUUCUCAAAUUUUAAAAUAUAAUCCGAUGAUUUCAAUUAGAAAUUAACUAUCUAAACAAUCAAGACUCAUGUUCGAAUUAUACAUAGCUAGAAACCAGAUAGAUAUAUACCAUAUAUUUCAUGAUUAUCUUCUAUAUGCCACAUCAACUAUAUGGUGGGAAAUGGGGAGGGCCGAUGAUAGCAACUCGUGUCUCCUUUCUUACUUAGGAAACCAAUACUCGUGCACGAGAUUAAGCCAAAAAAGAUGACGACAAAAAAGAACAGUAGAAAUAACGAAAAGUCGCAAAUCUAAAAGUACUAGGAAAAGAGUUGCAUCAGCAACGAGUUUUAUCUCCCGAUCUCUAUCCCCAUCUCCUCAGUUCUUAGUCGGCAGACGACAAAACCUUGAUGACUUGUGAAGGUAGGUUUACGUGCGGCUCUUGCCAAUUAAAAACUCUCUUAAGCUAUGCUUCCCUCGUGGCCAGUCUCCUGCAAUUACUCGAAAAACCAUGCAUGAUUGGAGACCUGAAAGCGACAGGUUUCGCAAUCAUAAAUGUCCUAUUGGCUAACGUGAGGCCCCCAAGCGGGUCAAUGAAAUCGGCUCCGUUAUCGACUGAUAUAUGAUCAAAGGUCAGGACCCAUCUAUCCAGAUCAUUUUGGGGUCGUGCCACCACAUUCUUGGAUGAGAAUGACAACGACGUAGAUUUCUGAUAUGUGGUUCGCAAAUAGUGCAAGAGUUUGCUCCGGCGAGCUCCGGCGAGUGAAGACAUAAUGUAUUUUCCUGAAGGCUAGCUAGUUCUAAGAGUGGAAAUUAGGUGACUUUCUCGAGAUGGUUGUACUUAUCAUCGCCCCAAAUUAUGCGCAAAUGGAACUUCGGCCGGUUGUGCACAAAAUAGAAAAUCGAGAAGUACGUGGGAUAGUUCAUGCAUGGAUGGGACCGACACAUCGAUUGGGAUGUGAUUGAUUAAAGGCAGAUGUCUAUGCGUUUACAAAAGAUCCAGCAGAGGAAUGGGAGGCGUAUGUGGCUGGAUAUAAUGUUCUUAUCCAAUGGGAAUAUCACAAGGGAGAUCGGAUAGACCUGCCAUGCAUGCAAUGGAACCACUUUGGUAGGUUUUUUUGUUGCUACCUUGGCUUUAUCCUCCAAUUAGCAUCCUGUUGCUUUAAUUUCCUUCCAAUUUGGAAACUCUAUCCAUCUCUAAUUGCACAGAACACUGCUUGUGAUGUUUACAUCGUGAUUGACAGUUCCUUAGCACCUUGGAUAAGAGUAUAUGGUGAGAUAGAUAUCAGGUCGGGGUCGAACAUAAGAUAAUAUCGAUUACAUGGAGAAAUCGAUCAAGAUUCAUCCCCUCUAUGAAAUGAGCGUGUAAGGGUUUUGUCUAUUCAACUUCCGAUGCAAUGUACAAGUAUAAUGUGAGUAGCAUCUUGGAUAAGAUUAUAUGAUUUAGACCAACACCGGGGUCGGCGCCGAACAGAUAAGAUAAUAUCAAUUAGGUGGAGAGAUUGAUCGAGAUUCAUCCUCUUUAAGACAUGAGUAUGUUAGAGUGUUGCCUGUUCUAUAUUUAGUGCAAUGUGCAAUUAUAGCAUGAACACUUGUAAAGUGUAAUCGUAGUGUAAUGCGCAAUUAUAGUAUGAGUACUCAAAAAAGUGCAAUCGAGCAAGAAUUUUUCCAAUUGGGAUCUAUAUGCAGAAAAAGAUUUGAGACUAGCUACCUAAAAAAAUUUCUUGAUUUUGCAAAUAUUCUCCCUUCAUCUUCGUUGAGCAGGGAUGAUAGGGCUUAUUUUGCAAGGAAUAAUGUACUCGCUAUCUCCCGAACCAUCUCUUAAAUGCAAAGCACAGUGCAAUGAGUGCAUAUCACUCUCAUUUUAAAUGCAAGGCAACACUUGCUUUUCAAUCUUACAUCAGUACACGAUUUUCGUCGAUAGAUAUUUAUAUGUAUAUGAAGCUCCUAUGGGGCACGCUUAUGUGCGAAAUUUACCCAGCAAUUUUUAUUUUAUGAUCAUUUUAGAAUACCUCUGAUUUUAGCAUCUCUGUAAUUACGUAUCUCUCAAAUUAUAAUGAAUUUUCAAGUUUAUAAAGUCUUGCAUAUAAUUUAUAUGAUUAUUCUUCUCAUUGAAAGUAUGGCAGAAAUUAUCUAAAAGUAGGGCUCAAAGGUGAUGGAGCAUACUCCUCCGUCUAAGUUAUAGUGCAUGGUAAUUCUUAUCAUUAAAGGUAAGGCUUAUUAUGUAAUAAAACAAAUAACUGUCACACAAAAAGUAAAAAGAAUCAUGUUCCUUUAUACUUAAUGAAUACGACUCCCAUCACUUAUAGUUGUUGAAUUAAGGGCCAUAAUAAGCUCUCAUGUGAGAACUUCUAAUCAUCACAGUAGUUUAUAAUCAUUAAUAAAAUGCUUUUAUUUCAAAAUAAUGAUAUACAAUUAGAUGAAAUAUCGAGGAUAGAGUCCUACAUAUGGUAUAUUUCUAAUUAUUUGUAUUCCUAUAUAAACUAUUUUUGCAAUUAUUAAGCCAUUCAUUUCAAAAGCGCCUAUUUAGUAGACCGUGCAUCCUCAUUUGGAUUCCAUGUCUCAUACAAAAAGGCGAGUGUCAAAUAGAAAUUUUGUUCGAACUCUUUUAUUUGUGAGAAAAUGACAAAAACUCUCUAAAUUUCGACCUAAUAUACAAUGUCAUUCUUACAAUUUUUUUUUUAUUCAUUCAAUGUGAUCAUUAAAUUAUUCUUAAAUGUUCAAUCUAAUUCCUCAACUUUUCAUUACAAAAUUAAAUAUGUCCCUCCGUACUAUAAAUAAGUUUUCAUAAUUACACCUCUGCACAAAUUUUAGAUUAUCUUUACAUAUCAAUCAAUUUCUUAAAUCAACAAAAUUAAACUAUCUUUUGUUGUGACCUACCCUUUGGAGGAAGGAAUAUGUUUAGAGGUAUUGCCUAAAAAACAGGCCUAUGGCCCAAAAUUAGACACGGGCUCUCCCAAGUUCAUACCUUGCACGACAUUGGAGGGUUCAUAAGAAUUUUAUAGUAAAGAGUCAUCAUUAGUCUAUUAGGGUCGACUAAAAAAUCAAGUGAAGUAUGGGAGGAUACCUUACUUCCUACGCAACUAGAGAAUCUAGGUUUAAGAACUUGAUUACACUAAUUAACCAAUUAGUUCCCUUUUAAUACCUAAUCUUGUUCAUUUUCAAAAGGAGAUGUUUUUGUUGGGCAAUCUGGAUUGAUUUUAUACAUAUCAUCAUAUGGGUACACAAUUGUUAACGUAACAAUUAGCAACCAAGGGAAGCAUUAAAUACAUUUCACAAGAUAACAAAGAUUUAACUCUAAAAAGAAAGAAUCCCAACUGGAAUAAAGGGGAGCAAAAAUCAAUGUACCAAAAUUGUGCAAUCAAGGUAUUAAUCUUUAAGAACAACUAAAAUCUUAAGGUAAAACAUAAUGGCUCAAUCAACCUUAAGUAGGAUUCCAAAUUGGAAAACUUCCAAUUUUUUAGGAGAAAAUAACCCAAGAGAUUAAUUUUAAGGGUUAAUACCCUAAAAAACCUCAAAUUGGUACACAUGUACCACAAACUAUUUUUUUUACCAUGAAAAACCCCAAAUCGGUACAUUUGUGACAAAUUUACCCCGAUUGAUCAUAAAAAAAACCCUAAAUCGGUACAUUUAUGAUAAAUUUACCCCAAACUAAUUUACUUGACUGCAAAAAAACCUUAAAUUGGUAAAUUUGUGACAAACAUACCCUCUGCUAAAUUGAAUUAAUACAAAAAAAAUCACAAAAAUUGUAAACUGUGACAAACAAACCAUAAAAUCCCAAAUUGGUAUAUCACUCAACUGUCACAUGUCAUUUAACUUAAUACUUUGAUAAUAAAAUUUAAUGAAAACUAACAGAGGGUAAAUUUGUAACAAGUGUACUAGUUUGGGAUAAAUUUGUCAAACAUAUACUAGUUUGGAAUUUUUAGUGAUCAAAAAAAUAAUUUUGAGUAAAUUUGUUACAUGUAUACUAGUUUAGAGUUUUUCAAUGUAUUUACCCUAAUUUUAACAUUUUUGAAGAUUUUUUAAUUUUUUAGAAUUUUUUUGGAUUUUUCAUAAAAGUUGAAUUUUCGAAUUUUCCAAAACAAUUUGGUUUUUUAAUCUUUUUGGAUUAUUAUUUUUUUUUGGUGUCUUUCUAAUUACUACCGAAAUGUUUAGACUUUCCUGAAUUUUGGAAUUUUCUGAGAAUUUUUUAAUUUUCCUUAAUUUUCUAUUUUUUUUUAAAUUUUUUUUAAAAACUCGAAAUUUCAAUUUUUUUAAUUUUUUUUGAAUUUUUAAUGCUAUUUGAAAGUUGUUGAAUUUUCAGAAACUUUUUGAAUUUUAUUAUUUUUCGAAAUUUUUAAUUUUUUGAAAACUUUUAAUAUAUUUUUAAUUUUUAAUAUUAUAAUAUUCGAGAAAGCGGGUUUGGACCGGAUAAAUCCGAUCCGACUCGAUGACCCGAGCCAAAAUCCGAUCCGACUCGAUGACCCGAGCCAAACCUAGAUUCGACCCAGCCGGAUAUAUAUAUUUAUAUAUUUGGUCAAAACAGUCGGAUAAAAGAACGAAAUUUUUUAAUUAGUUUAGCUUUACUUUAAAAAAAAAAAUCUAUUUUUCUUUCUUUUUUCUCUUUUUGUCUUUUCCUUACUUUGUUAUUUUCCUCUGCACCCCUCCUUCUCCACCUAACGUCCCAUCUCUGUCCUUUCUUCCCUUUUGUCUUUUUUUUCCAUUUCUUUUCAUUACCCAUUUUUAUUUCUUUUUCUUUUCUUUUCUUUUCCUUUUACUUUUCUCUUCCCUCUCGGUCUUCUUUUCUUCGUGCGUUCUCUGCACGCCCGAAGCCACCUUCUCUCCUACGCUCCUUUUCACCGAAACCCAUCGACCAAACCAAAAACGAGCCUCACUGCCCUUCGUCACCGGCGUCGACACCGCCCGCGCUCUGGCCACCGCCGAGCCGACACCCACUCUCUCACCCCAUACGGACAGGGAGGAAGACGGGACAUAACUUGCACAAAAAUAAGCUCAAAUCACAACAUAUGGCCAUAAGCCCUAAUCACGACAAUGUAAACUCGAAAUGGACCAAACAAAAGCGUGUAGAACAGCAACAAAACACAUCUAGCAACGGCGGACGCCUAUAAUGAACAAAGGUUCAGGAAUAGUCAUGCGGGCUUCACUCAGGCAUUUAUACAAACAGUUCAAGAGCAUUAUCAAGUGUUUAGAUUUCCUACUCAACCGGGACUCGAAAUGGGACCAGGAUUCUCGGAAAACGACCAAAAACACACAGAGACUUGGAUAAAGACCUACGGGGGCCGGAGGGACCAAAGCUCAUGCGAACGGGUCGGCCACGAGCUCCGGUCCGAUGCCCUACAAAAACGGACCAUACAUGACCAGAGGAAACCUACCUGGUUUGGUUUGGUGGGGGUACCGCGGCGGACGGCGGCUGACGGACGAGCCACCGACGACGGCAGAUCACUCUCUCGGGCUCAUGCUCUUGUUUCUCUCUCUCGGCCAAAACCUGCGGAAAAACAAGAAUCCCUCUCUCUUUCUCCUGGACUCUCGCCGAAGACCUGUUCUCUUUCAAAUGAGCGAGCCCUUUCACUUUUAAGGGCGACCGGCAAGGGCACAUGGCCUUUGCUGCCGCGAGCUUGCCGGCCGGACUGAUCCCCACCCGCGGAUCACGCCGCCAUCUGCCCCUCGCGAUCCCCUGCUCCUCUAGCUCAUGCUCUACAUUUCCUCCCUCUUUUUCAGAAGCGUGGCUAGCAUGAGGGGGGAAGAAGAUUGACUUGUGCGCGGGCCGGGUUGAAAUAAAACGAAAUGGGCCAGCCCAAGCGCAGAAGGGAGAAAAGGCAAAAAGAUAGGUGGGCAAGCCCACACAUGAAGAAACACCCUCUACUCGGUCCCAUUCGAUUUUUUUAUUUUUUUAUUUUUUUUGGUAAAAGUAUGUAAACCCCAUUCGAUUUUUCUUAUACCUUUUAAUGAAAUUUUUUUUAUUUUUUUUCUUUUUGAUGACAAAAAUUUUGGAAAAAUCUAAAAAUGACCAUUCAAUGCGUGGUGCAAUAAUGAAAACACGAUACCUUUUAAUGAUUUUUUUUUUUACUUUUCUUCCUUCUUUUUUUAAUUUUCGAUUUUAAAAAAAAUUAUUUUUAAUUUUAAUAAUUAGUGAUAGUUAUGCAAAUGCUCCUAAUGUCUACACGUGAUGGAUUUUAAUGAAAACCUACUCAAUGCAAUUUAAUGAAAAUUAUUUACUUUACUCUUUACUUCCUUCCUCUUUUUUUAGCGACUAAUUCAUUACGUGUAGAGUAAAUUAUUUUUAAAUUAUUUUUAAUUUUUGUAUAUGAUUAAUUCUUAAAUAAAAUGGUAAAAUUUAGGUAUCGACAUCUUUUUAUUACUUUUUCCCUUUUUUGGUCUUUAAAAAUAUUAGUAUAGUUCCAUUCGAGUAUAUUUUAAUUUAUGAUCUCUAUAAGGAAAAGUACCAAAAAAGUCUUAAACAUAUUGUAUAGGUACCAAGUUAGUUAUAAAUUUUUUAAUUAGACCAAUUUGGUCAUAAAUUUUUUCGCAUUAAUACAAAUUCAAUCCAUUCGAUUAAUUUAAAUCGGAAAUUGUUGAUGUAGACGCCAACUAUCUUACAUGACACAGCUAGCACUAACGCAUAUAUUUUUUAAAUAAUUUUUAAUAUUUUUCGAUUUUUUAAUUUUUUUUCCUUUUUUCUUAUUGUUCAUUCUUUUUUUUUUCCUAUUCUUUCUCCUUUGCCCUAUGGCCGGUACUGGCCACAACCAAGGGCUAGCAAGGGCGUUGUGACUCUCACUAGAUUUAGUGAGGGCAUGACCCUCGCGGCUUGGGCAAGGGCUCAAUCCUUGUCACUUGGGAGAGGGAGCCCUCCCCAAGUUUGGCGAGGGCAUGAUCCUCGCAGACUAGGCGAAGAUCCAGCGGGGGUCGUCCUUGCCCAGGCCGUGAGAGUCGUGCCCUAGCUAGAUUUGGCAAGAGCUGCACUUGCUAAGGCCAUGAGGGUCAUGCCCUCACCAGAUUCAACGAGGGUGAUCGUUGCUUGUGGCCAAUCACCGACCACAUUGCAAAAGAGAAAGAAAAGAAAAGAAAAUUAAAUGAUAAUUAAAAAAUCAAAAAAUAAAUUAAAAAUUCCUACAUCAACGCAGACUCUAAAAGGUAGAACGCCCAAUGUCCACAUUAGUGAUUUUCUGUAUAAAUUAGUAGAAUGGACUGAAUUGGUACCAACAGGAAAAUGUUUAGGACUAAACUGAUUCAAUUGAAAAGUUGAGGACCAAAUUGGUAUUAAUAUACUAAGUUUAAGACUUUUUUUGUACUUUUCUAGAUCUCUAUAAUGGUAAAAAUAUGUGUUUUCAUAAUAAUAGUUAAUGAAAAUAUGAAUUUUAUUUUUAGAUUUCUAGUACUCAAAUUUAGCUACAUCCUAUUCCUAAUUUCUUAAAUAGACAAAUUUACAAUUCUUUGUGUUUCGCAUUUUGUUAAUUAAAUUUAGUUGAAUUCAUAAAUUAGCAAAUUAAAAGAACAAGAAUAUUAAUCGAUACUACUCUAAUGAGAUUCUAUUUUCACUAUUAUAGAAAUCAUAAACUAAAGCACACUUAAAUGGAACUAUCCUAAUAUAAUUAAGAUGAAAAAAGUAAAGAGUAAUAAAAAGAUAGCCAAAUUUUUUGUUGACCCAGGAAAUGGCCUGAAAUAAAAAUAUAUUAUAACAUCUAGGCAAUAGUAUUUUAAUGAAAAAUUUUGACUUUUUUUUUUUAUGAAAAGCAAAAAGACUAGAUUGACCAAACGACCAAUUUAGAGACUAAAAACCAAAAACUCUCUCUCUCUCGACUGUGAAGAGCUAUCUCUACUCUAUGGGGUAGUCGGUCCCCUUUUAAACCCUAAAUCUCCUCUUGGAGUUGGCAAUCCCAUCAUAAAUUUCCUCCCGGAGCAAGGAUCCUCUAGGCGCUUGGGGCUCUUCCUUUCGGAUUUUUUGGAAGUUGAGGUAGGACUCUAUCUUUCUCAUCCAUCUUUAAUCAAUUUUCUGGGAUGGAGGGAGAUGACGCUAAGGCCUUGAGAAUGGCUACUCUGUGUAGGCAUCUGGGAAAUAUGUGAUGUGAAAAAGGUUGCCAUUAGUGAUGAGUUGGUUUCUAUAGAGAAAAUCAAAGAAAGCAAACUUACACUCUUUGGGAAGCUUCUUAAUAACCCUAAUAUCAAUUUUCAAGCUUUCCAAAACACAAUGAGGAAAGCUUGGUGAACAGAAAUGAUAAAUUUUGAGAAUCUAGAUACCGGUAUCCUUUAGGGCUGUGCAAAAUACCCGGGAUUUGCUCGAACCGCCCGGAACCGGACCGAAACCGCCCGGAACUAGCAGUUCUUAAGGGAACCGGUCCGGUUCCCGGUUCCAGUUUUUGCGAACCGGUGGGAACCGGUCCAAUUCCCGGUUCCAUAGGCGGAUUCGCCCGCCCGCCCACCCGAACCAGACCGGUUCCCUUUUAAUAUUAAAAAAAAAAAUUACUAAAACAAACCUAGGUCUCUCUCUCUGUCUCUUCCACUUCUCUUCGGUUUAUGCGGCUGCCUCUCUCUCUCUCUCUCUCUCUCUCUCUCUCUCUUCCUCAAUUCCUCUCGCUAUUUCGAUUCCUCCUCGGUGACUUGUGCGUCCGCCUCACCGCACGAGCCGCGAAGCCGCUGUAGCCCAAUCGUCCGCCACCCUCCUACCCGCGCCGCUUCGAUCUCAUACCUGUGCACCCACCGACCUGUGACAGCUCCGCACCUCCACCAUCGUCGUCUUGCCAGAUCCACCUUCCCCCUGACGUUCAGCACCGCAACCGCCGCUCGUUUCUUCACGCCGAUGGCCGCGACUCCAGCAACCCAUGAGACCCAUCCGCGACCAACGCUCGGUGUCCCUUGCUUCAGCCGCGCUGAUUUCACUCGACGACUACAGAUCUGAGCUCAUCUCAGCCCUGACGCCGUCGCUGUUCAGCCUCCCUGCCAGAUCCGCCUUUCCCGCGACGUGCAGCACCGCAACCGCCGCUCAUUUCUUCACGCUGGUGGCCGCGACUCCAGCAACCCACGAGACCCAUUCGCAACCAACGCUUGGCGUCCCCUGCUUCAGCCGCGUUGAUCUCGCUCGACGACUACAGAUCUGAGCUCAUCUCAGCCUUAACGCCGUCGCCGUUCAACCCCCUACCAGAUCCGCCUUCCCCCCAACGUGCAGCACCGCAACCGCCGCUUGUUUCUUCACGCCGGUGGCCACGACUCUAGCAACCCACGAGAUCCAUCUGCGACCAACGCUCAGCGUCCCCUGCUUCAGCCGCGCUGAUCUCGCUCGACGACUACAGAUCUAAGCUCAUCUCAGCCUUGACGCCGUCGCCAUUCAGCCUCCCAGCAACCCGCGAUCCAGUUCAGCGACCCGCGACCCAGCUCCGCCGCAGCCUCUCGCCCAAGCGACCCUUCUGCAGAUCCCGAAGAACUAGCGUCACCCGCGUCAAGAUUGGUUCCAUAGAUCCACCCGGGAACCGGACCGGACCGAUGGUCCGGUUCCCGAGCGGAUCCAUGCAACAAACGGGUGGAUCCCGGUUCCAAUUUUUCGGAACCGGUACUUAGCGGGCGGUUCCCGGUUCUAGGUCGGGAACCGCCUGCCCGGACCAUGCACACCCCUAGUAUCCUUGCCAUUACUUUCCAAUCUGAAGCUGAUUUAUCUAGAGUUGUGGAUUCUGGCCCCUGGAGUUUCUCGAAUCAUCUCCUCAUUCUCAAACAAUUGGUACCCUCAACUCCUCCUUAGUGUUACAAUUUCAGUAUGUAUGACUUUUGGGUGCAAAUCUACGGUUUACCUUUUGAAUGGAGGACAAAAGAGAUACUUUCAUGCAUAGCAAGUAGUAUUGGAGAGGUAUCUUAGAUUAGAAUGGAGAAGAAAAAUAUCUCAAAUAGAAAUAGUAGUCAAGUAAAGGUCGCCUUGGAUGUAUCCAAACCCCUGAUCCCAUACACUUUCAUUGAUUAUAAAGGAAAUAAUACGUGAAUGGAUUUUAAGUAUGAGAGAUUACCUUAUUAUUGCUAUGCAUGUGAGAAAAUUGGGCACUGCGCAAAACAGUGUCAGGAUGUUCCCUUUGAUGAAGACAAAAUUGAGGAGCAUCGGGUAGGGUAUUGGAUAAAGGUUAAGGCGAAGGAGUAUAGCCCUUAUUGAAAAAUUUUCUAUGGAAAGAUUGAAGAUAAUAGCAUGGAGGAGGAGGCUAUCCCAGAAACACCUGCUAAUGUUGAAUUGAUUGAACUAGAGGAACAAAAUUUCACGGAAGAAAUUCCAUCAUCAAAUAAGGAGUUUAUCCAAAAAAGAAAAGGCAAGGAAACCUGCCUGGAGAAAGGAAAUUUAAUGCAAGAGUAGGCCCUAGUUCCCGUGAUAAUACCUAGAAUUUCCCCUGUUUUGGCUCUUGUCAAACCCCAUUCACCAACCUUGGCUCUUCAACCUGUGGCAAAAAUUAAAAAGCAGAAGAAAAAAUUGUGUUAAAAUUCAUACCAGCAAGAAGCAAAAAGAUAUAUCAAAUAUAAAACCUGUCAUGACCCGAACCCCGGGCACCUGCACAUCCCUCAAUGGUCGAUUUAAAAAUUUACAACAUCCCAAGAAUUGUUGCCGACCCAUUCAUUAUUUUGCACAUGCGGAAAUGUAAAACAAUCUCCAUACAACAAAAUAGUGGGAUAGAAACGUAUGGUAUUAUUUUUCACAUGCCAUACCUAUAACAUCACAUUACUUAUAGACCAGUUUAAUACCCCAAAAUCUAAUACAAAAAGUGAAGCUAUUCGAUUACCCACUAACUAAGCUUCUACCAACAAGACUAGGGUUUACUACUACCAUGCUUCUCGAUUUCUCGGGGGUGAGCCGUCACCCUACAUCUAGGCUUGACGGAAAACCCGUCAUCCUCAGAAGGAGAUAGCGAGAGUCCUAUUCUUCCUUUACUGUGACCGACUGUACACGACCUGGCCUUCCUCCAUUUUGAGACCUGAAAAAUGUUAGCCCAUUAAGGGGUGAAAUCACAUCUUAGCGAGUAAAUCUCCUAAAUCCAGAUUAGGAGAAUAGUACACUCAACAUGCAAUCUAAUCGCCUUUCUCACACUUUCUUAAUACCAGUACUUUCAUGCAUGUUAGUGUCAAUUAAUUCAUACAUAAGAUAUCGAGAUCAUAUAUCAUCAAAAUACUUUUAACACACAUAUAUAUAUGUAAGGACAUAAAUGUCACAUAUUUACCCGAUCCCCCAAUUACCAAGCUAAACCGUUAUGGCACGUCUCAUACCACACUACACAGUUCCGUCUUUUAAUUAGGUCCCUCACUUUCACCCAUUCAUGCGUCACAAAUGAUUUCAAUGCUCAGAUAAUAGUCUUCCGGCAUAAUUGGGCAUUUCAUGUAUCACAAAUGAUUUCAAUGCUCAGAUAACAGUCAUCCGGCAUAAUUGGGCAUUUCAUGUAUCACAAAUGAUUUCAAUGCUCAGAUAACAGUCAUCCGGCAUAACUAGGCAUUGCCUCGCACCGUCGAGCGCGGCAUCGUCACAUCUAGACGGCAUUCCAUAUAGGAGCAUCGGUCCAGCUUUCACUACGACCGGCAUCCAUUGACGUGGGGCAUUCCCGAAAGAGCAUCGCCUGGCCCCAAAAGCUUGUGGCGGAAGCUCAUGCCAUAAAUGCAUAUGAUCAAUGUCACACUUCAAUAAUCAAUUACACAUAGCAUUCACAGUCUCAAUUAAGCAAUUUCAUAACAAGAAUACUUCAAAACAAACAUACACUCUUACUAACCCAAAUUCACAGAAAACAGUCCAAGUACGCUCUCCCAAAUUCGAAGUCAGAAACCCACUCGUAUGAACUCGAAAAAUUCUUAAAUUUGGACACAUAUUUGAAAACACAAAAACAAACAUUUUUCAUGAAAACACCGAGAUCUAGAUCCCUCUGGAUUCGGCCCAGAAAUUCUUUCUAUCCAGCACAAAAAUCGGGUCAAGUUCCAGAGAACCUAACUCAUCGAAAUCAGUUCAUUUUUGGGUCGAAAUCUAGUUCGUUUUAUUUGAAAUUCAAGUAUGUUAAACUAAAAGUUAUAACGAACAACUUUCAUGAAGAAACCGAUUGGAAAUUUGACCUCUAAAGGUCAGUAAUUGCCCUCAGAAUCAUAAUAGGUCACGGUUUACAGAACUGUCCGAAUUACUGCUUCAAGAAUAACGUCAUGAAAAUCGUCAUCUUUUUAAAUUCUAAAAAUUCUGAGAAAAAUAUAUGUUAUUAUUAAGGAUGUCUAAAAUAUUUCUUCAGAAUAAAUUCCUUCAAAAUCGCAACACACAGUUAUCUACGAAAUUAGCAAAAUACACGUCCUGGAAACUGUUUUAGAAAUCAGCUAUUAUUCUAGUCCGAAUCUUCCUCCACGACGUUUGUCUCGUUCUCUAAACUCUAUCUAAUCUUUUUUAUGGUCAUUAUAAUAUCCCUAACCAACAUCCAUCCACAUAUAACGUUAUCUAUAUCUUUCUAACUUGUACAAAUUCUUAAUAGAGGUACUCAACCCCUAGUCAAGAUUUAGAAAUCAACUCACCACCAAAACUAAUGGCGAUUCUCACUUGUGGCCGGACGGCAACACAAGGACAGCCCUAGAAGUUUUUGACGAUGAUUUGGACCCGGCACAACGGUUGGAGGUGUCGUUGAGCGACCACUACAGCAGCACACAAAGUCCCGGAUUUUCUUGAGGAGGGGGGAACACUCGAAAUCUUGUUGUUCGGUCGCUGCUUUAUCGUCCAAGGGGGAGCAAGAAUGGCCGAAUAAACUAACUUAAAUAAGAAGAAGACAAGACUUUUUAUGGUUGUGAAGGGGAAAGGAAAUUGUUGUAAAGCUGGAUAAGGGAAAGAGAGAGACAGGUGCACGGCAGCAGGGGAGAAGAAAUAAGUGCAGAAGAAAAAGAAAAGAGGGUAAAGCAAAAGACUAAAACCCUUCGCUGAGAGAAAAGAAAUGAAAGAAAAAUAAAGAAUAAGAAAGAAAAGGGAAAAGUAAAAAAGGAAAGCAGCCCAUUUGCUGCUGCGCUUCGGUUUCCUAUGGCAAGAAAAGAGAAGCAAUGUGGGGAGUAAAUGCCUAGAAGUUACUUAGCAUUUACUCAGCAUUUACUCAACAUUUACCUUCUGCUUUUGGCCCCAAAUUCCAUGGAAAAUUGGCUCUUCAUUACUACCUUAGGUCCUACUAUCUUUUCCAAGUCCAUCUCCUUUAAAUACUGAGGAAAUUGAGAUGAAAUUGUAGGAGAGAGGGAUUUCUACGAAUUUCCUUUUGAGAAGACUUCUCUUCUUUCUUUAAUUACCAAUCUAACAUCUAAUUCAAUAGGGUCAAGUCGCUUAGUAACAACUUAUAAUACAUCUAAAUUGCUUCACAUUAGAAGCUUUAAAAUCCUACUUAAAAUGUGGCAAUUCCCUUACUCUUUUAAUUUGCUGAUCUUGCACAUUUCGUGAACAAUUCCCAUCAUCAAUAAAUUUUGAGAAAAUGCAACAAUGUCCUUGGGAUAAAUUGUGACACGUGACAAUUCUUAAUGUCUGUAAUCGACAUCAUUUCCUCGGUUAAUUUCAGUCAAAUGUGAUUUUAGCGCAACCUAAACUAUCGGUUAGUUUUUAGGAAUUUUCAGUGCAACUGACCCAUGGUCGAUUAUUCCCGAGCCACAAUGUACAUCUUCGACGCAUUGACGACUCUCGAUUGUCGUGAAAAAUCUUAAGGUUUCAAUUACGAGUAUAUGGUACCAAAACAACAAAAAAUCCGGUUUAGUGCCGAUCGACGAGAAAUUUGUAAUUAGUUGGAAUCACCCAAGCUAAAUUUUAUCUCUAUCGAAUCAACCUAUUUCCGAUUUCUGAUAGAUUUUCUACUGUGCCGAACUAAUCCUUGUAGACUAAUCCGAUCGAGCAGUCGAUUCCUGGUCGAAUUCUCAAGUUUGUUGCAUCAAAAUCCUUUAAUAACUUUCCCGAUUAGUCAAGUUAUCUCAUGAGUGAUCAGCUCAGAAAAUAGCGCUAUAAGCACGUAGACGAAAAGCCCGAUUUAUUUAAUUGAAAACAGAAGCAGAAAAUUAGACUGUUACAAAACCCAAGGAAUUCUAGAUGAAAAUGAGUUGAUGGAGGCACCUAUUCAAACUGUGGAAGAAGCAAAAUGGGUUUUAAUGGUUAACCCUAAUCCAUUGAUUUACAAAUGAAGAUUUUAUGUUGGAACUAUCAGGGGUUUGGCACACCACUGACAGUUCAAGCCACUAGAGCCUUAAUGGCUCAAGAAAUGCCCAAUAUCAUGUUUCUAAUGGAGACAAAGAAUCAAGAGCAUGUACUUUUGAGAAUGAAAAUGAGGUUACAGUUUCAUAAUAGUUUUCUAGUAAAUCCCAUAAGUAUCUCGAGGGGUCUUGCAAUUUUUUGGAAUGAGGAAUGCUCAGUUGAUGUACAGUCAUCUUCCAAGCAUUUUAUUGAUGUUGUAUGUAAUAUAAAGGAGAGUAAUUAUGUGAUGAGAACUACCUUUGUGCAUGCUCCUCCUAAGUUUCAUGACCAUCUUUUAUUGUGGGAAGAGUUAAGGAAUAUCAACAGGUCUAAUACCCUUCCAUGGGCUUGUAUAGACGAUUUUAAUGAGAUUCUCUACCAUCGGGAGACUGUGGGUUGUAGAAUGAAAGAACAUUAUCGACUAAAUACAUUCUAGGAUUUCUUGAAUUCUUGCGAACUGAUGGACAUACAAAGUAAGGAUUAUAUGUUCACGUAGACAAACAAUAGGAAAGGGCCUGAAUUUGUCAAAGAAAUGUUAGACAGAGUGCUUUGUACUAUAAAAUAGAUAACUCUUUUCCUUAAAUGCAAAAGCUUUUGCCCUUCUAGCUGUGGGCUUGGAUCAUUGUCCAAUCUUGCUAUUUUUGCUCCCAAAACCUACCAAAAGAAGUAAAAAUUUCAGAUUUGAAGUUUUUUGGACAAAGGACGAGGAGUUUAGUUUAAUUAUUCAACAGGCUUGGAACUUAGUUAAAAGGAAGGGAUAAGUGUUCCAGAAGUCCUACAACUUGUCACGAAAGUGCAUUUCAGUCCUAAAACUUGCAAAAAGUGCAUUUAAGUCCUAAAACUUGUCAAAUUGUUUCAAAUGAGUCCUAAAAUCGACGCCGUUAGCAUUUUCCGUUAAAAAUGCUGACGUGGCAUUUUAAAUAAUUUUUUAUUUUCCACGUGGAUUUUUUAAAUAAUUUUUUAUUCAUUUUUUUUAAAAAUUAAAUUUAAAAACUAAAAACUUAAAUUUAUUCUUAUCUUAUUUUCAACAAAAACUAAAAAGGAAAGUUAAAAAAAAAAUAUUUUUAAAAUUGUUAAAAAAAAAUUCAGCGGGCUCCUCUCCCCCGCCGCCGCCGCCGCCGCCCAUUGACGGAGAGAUCGGNNNNNNNNNNNNNNNNNNNNNNNNNNNNNNNNNNNNNNNNNNNNNNNNNNNNNNNNNNNNNNNNNNNNNNNNNNNNNNNNNNNNNNNNNNNNNNNNNNNNNNNNNNNNNNNNNNNNNNNNNNNNNNNNNNNNNNNNNNNNNNNNNNNNNNNNNNNNNNNNNNNNNNNNNNNNNNNNNNNNNNNNNNNNNNNNNNNNNNNNNNNNNNNNNNNNNNNNNNNNNNNNNNNNNNNNNNNNNNNNNNNNNNNNNNNNNNNNNNNNNNNNNNNUAUUAUCGCUCAAGGAAUUAGAUUCGCCCAGGGCGGGCGACGGUCGCCGGCGCUCGCCUGGGGCCGGCGAGGCCCGGCCACCCCGCCCAGGGCCGACGACCGUGGCCCGGCCCCUCCGGCGAUGGGCGGCGGCAGCGGCGGCGGCGGUGGAGAAGGAACCGCUGAAUUUUUUUUCUUUAAUAAAUAUUUUAACUUUUUUUUAAAAUUUUUUUGUGAAAAUAAUAUAAAAUGAAUAAAUUUGAUUUUUUUAGUUUUUAAAUCUAAUUUUUUUAAAAAAUGAAUAAAAAAUCAUUAAAAAAAUCCACGUGGAAAAUAAAAAAUUAUUUAAAAUGCCACGUCAGCAUUUUUAACGGAAAAUGCUAACGGCGUCGAUUUUAGGACUCAUUUGAAACAAUUUGACAAGUUUUAGGACUUAAAUGCACUUUUUGCAAGUUUUAGGACUGAAAUGCACUUUCGUGACAAGUUGUAGGACUUCUGGAACACUUAUCCCUAAAAGGAAAUAUGUUAGCUUCUCGCAAAAGUUGAAUGAGGUGAAAAAAGCAUUAGAAAAGUAGAGUAAGAAAUUUUCAAAUGCCUAUAAAGAAAUCUUAUUGUUAAGGAAUGAAUUGCAAGAGAUAAUGAACUCCCAAACCCAGUCUUGUAACAGGGAGAGAGAAAAGGUUCUUAAAUGGGAAAUUGAGAAAAGAUGGAGUCAAGAAGAGAUGUUUUGGGGGGCUGCGCUCUAGGAUUAAUUGGUUGAAAUGGGGCGAUAGAAAUACCAAAUUCUUUCAUACAACAACUAUUCAAAGAAGGCAACGAAAUCGAAUAUCCAUGCUAAAGAGUUUAACCGAUGAGUGGGUACGGGAGGAGAAAAGCUCAAACUUUUGAUCAUAAAUCAUUUUUGAGAUUUGUACACUUUAGCAGAGCCUCAAAAUUUUGAGCCUAUCAUUGAAAAACACCCCUCCUCAAUGGGGGAGGAUAUAAAUAGAAUCCUAGUAACUGAUGUGACAAUUUAAGAAAUUUAUACAGUAGCCCACCAAUUGAGAGCUACUAAAGCUCCUAGUCCUGACAGUUUGAAUGGGCUAUUCUAUCAUACUAACUGGAAGGUCCUAGAACCAACAACCAUCAAAGAAGUAAGGCAAUUUUUCGAAACAAGGAAGCUCAGCCUAGAAAUUAACAAAAUUCAAAUCACCCUUAUUCCUAAAGUCCCACAUCCCGAGAGCUUGGUACAAUAUCGUCCCAUUAGUGUAUGCAACUUCUCAUACAAGAUCAUCUAAAAAACCCUAGCAAAUAGACUGAAGAAGUGGCUAGGAGUUCUCAUCUUACCGGAACAAAGUGCCUUUGUCAGUGGUCGGCUUAUCCAAAACAAUAUUUUAAUAGUUCGUGAGGUACUACACCAGCUCAGAAUCAUAAAUAGAAAGCAAAAGUUUCAAGCUGUAUUGAAAUUGGAUAUGCAAAAAGCAUACAACAGAAUUAAAUGGGACUUCUUGGAAGCAUGUAUGUUAAAAAUGGGUUUUCAUGCUAAAUGGGUGACCUGGGUAAUGCAAUGUGUUACCACCGUUUCUUUCAAUAUAAAUUUCAAUGGAGAACCACUUCCUUACUUUCAACCCUCAAGAGGUCUACAACAAGCUGAUCCACUUUCGUCAUAUCUUUUUAUUAUAGUGACAAAUAUACCCUUGGUAUUAUUGAAACAAGCUUUAGAGCAAAGCACUAUUAAAGGCAUUCAACUGAACAAGAAUUGUCCUAUACUAACCCACCUUCUCUUCGCUGAUAACUCAAUCUUUUUUUUUGGAUGGGAGUAUAAAAAAAUGUCAAAGUGUAGCUGAGAUUUUGAAUAGCUACUGUUUCGCUCUAGGCCAAGCUAUAAACUUAAAUAAAUUAGGGUUAUUCUUCAACAAAAAUUGUCCUUUUACACUCCGCCAAAACAUGCUCAUUGAAUUGCGGGUCCCAAAAAUUGCCAAAACCGGGAAGUAUUUGGGAAUUCCUUCUGAUUGGGGUAAAAAAAAAAAUGUUCACUUGGAUAUUGGUUAGAGUAAACAUGAAAUUAGAAGGGUGGAAGGAAAAACUUAUGUCCACUCAUCAAAGCAGUAGUACAAGUUCUCCCACUAUAUGCAAUGUCAUUUUUUAAAAUUCCAGUUUCAAUUUGUCGAAGUAUUGAAAAAAAAGUCGCAAACUUCUGGUGGAAUACUAAUGAACAAAAAUCCGGAAUACACUGGAAGAAGUGGCAUAUUCUCAAGAAUAGGAAAGACAAUGGAGGUUUGAGAUUUUGAGAUUUAAUUGCCUUCAAUAAAGCCAUGCUCGAUAAACAGGCAUGGCAUAUGAUGCAAAAUCCUCCAUCGUUGUGGUGCCAAUUACUAAAAGGUCUAUAUUUCCCUCAUUCUAAAUUUUGGUUAGCUAGAAAGGGGUAUCAACCUUCAUGGGACUAGCAAAAUCUUCUAAUGGGCAGAGAUGAGAUUCUUCCUUUAAUAAGAUUGGUAGUAGGGAACAGAGAAAAGAUUAAUAUCAAAGAGACAAAAUGGCUUCCUAGAGGAGUCAUAGGAGGACCCGCAAACAGGGAUGAACCAAAAAGGUCUCUGAGCUCAUUCACAGAGAUACGCUAGCUUAGAAUGAACAACUUAUUGGAACUCUGUUCGAUGAGCAUACAACUAAUGAAAUUCUAACAAUCCCAUUAGGUUCCCAGGCAAAGAAGGAUAAAUUAUGCUGGAUAAACACAAGCACAAGAGACUAUAUUGUUAAAAGUGGGUAUAAUAAAAUCAUAGAGAAUGAAGAAUAAAACAACAACACCACAACCUCUACCUCUCACCAAAUCCUUAAAUCUCUUUAGACAAAGAUCUAGAAGGCUAAAACAAGUCGAAAAUCAAUUUUUUCUUAUGGGGAUUAUGUCAAAACGCGUUGCCGACAAAAGAAAAUCUACAAAAGAUAGAUAUAGUGGAAGAAAAUAUGUGUGAUUUAUGUAAACAAAACCCAUAAAUGAUAGAGCAUCUCUUCUUACUUUGCCCUUGGACACAUCAAAUUUGGAUGGAUCCUGCACUACAAAUUCAGAUCUCACCUUAUGAACUUAGUCGAAUAGAUGAAUGGUUACUUAAAUUCAGUAAUACCUCCGCAAGUUUCAACCUCCUUGCAUCUAUCCUCUGGCACAUUUGGAAAGAAAGAAACAACUCUGUUUUCUGCAAACUAAAGCCAAAUCCGAAGCAUCUUAUAAGCUCAGCCGUGCCGGAAAAUCAGUGCUUCAACAAUUGGGAAAAGGCGAAGAAGAAGGGGAAAGGUGUAAAGGAAGCCUCACCUCAGAUCUGGUUUGGCCCAAGCGAAGACACUCUCAUAAUCUAUAUAGAUGGAACUUUCUUGCUCAGAACGACGAUCGGAGCAAUAAGUUGUGUUUGCCGAAACAAUUAUGAAGCUUUGAUGGAUAAAUUUGCUAGAUCAGUAAGCGUAAACUCUGCUAUGCAAGCUGAGGCUUUGGCAAUGAUGGAAACCCUAAAGUUUCUUCUCUCCCAAAGUGAACGAAGUCUACUUCAAUCAGAUUGCAAAGUACUUAUCCUGAUGACAAUGCUCGUGGGAAAUAGAACCAAUUCUCAUUGAGGCCAAAAAUUUGCCACUGGGCUUUGCUAAGUUACAUUUGGCCCAUUGUAGCAGAGAAUUAAAUUUAAUUGCGGACUGGAUUGCAAAAACCCAAAUAAAUGGGUCCUUACCUUUAAAUUGGUUAUCCAACCCCCUGGAAGCCCUAUGGGCCUUACUUUGUUCGGAUUCGAGUCUUUUGUAUUCAAACUCUUUGAGUUAGCUAAUGAAAAAUUUAUUUCCUGACCAAAAAAAAAAAUUAGGGACUAAAUUGAACAUUUAGGAAUAGUUCGCGGAUAAUAUUGAAUGAAUGAAAAGUUCAAGAAUGACAUUGCACAUUAAAUCAAAAUUCACAAUCUAUUUAUAUCGUUAACCCUUUACUUGUAUUGCUAUUUUUUAUGCAGGCACGUUUGGCCCAGAAAGAUGAAAAACAUUCACUAUCAGAGGUAGGUCAAAAAGAUGAUUCAAGGAUUAAAGCAUGAAUUUCAAAAACUAUGGAAUGUUAUAUAUAGUAAAAUAACUGGAAAAUUGAUUAGUAUUGAUAUGGCUGGACGAGAAGAUGAGUUGUAAUUCUUUUUCAUUAUUUGUUAUUGCUUUUUUCACCGAUGGAUUUUGUAUUUAGUUCUUAGUACUACUUCGGAAUGUUCAUAAACUCCUGAUUAGCGUUGGCAAUCCAUUACCGAUUUACCCGACAAGUAAGUUUCCAGUCUUCUUUUUCUUGCCAAAGAUAUCGAAAUUCACCGGUAAUUUGGAAAUUUGACCAACGCGGAAUUUUUCCAGUUCUUUAGCAGACGGGACCAGUGAACUUUUGUAUGUUAAUCUAACUAUCUCUACCUUGAAAAAUUCUCUUAGCAUCAAAUGUUAGCUUUAUAUUCUCCAAAUUAGACAGAGUUAGAUUAUGAAACACGACAUCAAACACUGUAAAUAAUAUACUACUAAUGACAUUUAGCAGAUUAACCACAAUUAGUGUCCGUCUCCUUUUAACUGCAUGUAUUACUGAAAAUCCAAUGAUGAAUCACAUUUUAGAUACCAUCGUUAUAUUGGCAAUCCAUAACUUUGUAUACACUUUCGGAAUCGGUCACCAAACUUAAGCACAAUUACAAAAUCUCUCUGCAUCAUUUAUUCUUUCCCUUCUCCCCACACUCUUGCUUAAUUUCGCUAUACAUUUCUAUACAAUGACAAAACGCAUCGCUUGCUGAAGCUCAAGAAGACGUGGACGUGGACGCGGGUGUCCCCGACGACGGGUUGAAGGCGGCCUGCUCCCCGCAGCUGAGCACCUCGUGCGGGCCGGCCUCCUCGCGGCCAACGCCCAUCAGGUCAAGGUAGUACUGGUAGUGGGAGACCAUGUUGUUCAUGUGCUCGUCGUCGCCCUUGCCGCAGACGUCGUCGCCAUAGAGGAUGUUCAUGGUGGCACCGAACCCGGGGACCCGCUUGGCCAGGGUGUCGUUCUUCGUGGGCUUCCAGUUGCCGACGAACACGUCGUGGGCCGACGGCUGGUGCUUCUUGUCCGGUGUCAUCCACCGCCAGAUCGCCGCCUGGAAGGCCAGCGUCGCGUUGUUCUCGAUGUGCUCCGGGUUGUUCAGCAGGUCCACCUUCAGGGCCUGCCCCGCUUUUCCGUAGUUGUAGUUCCUAAAACAUACGGCAAAAUCAGGCAAAAUAGAGCUCAACGCCUAAUCGAAUUCUCCAGGAUCCAACAUUGUAUUUUCCUGGCCUGGGCUCAGCGCAUCGAAAUAGAAACUAAUUGCAAAAGUGAAUUGUGGAAUUGAGAUCGACAGGGUGCCUGAAAGAUCGGAUCGUAAUUAUGCUUUGCUUUUAGUAAGUUAAAUAUGAUCGCUAGAAGUAAACUUAUGGGUAAAAUCUUCUCAAAAUAUAGAGAUUUCAAAUUUAGAUUAGUCUCAUUUUUAUAUUUCCUAAGUCACCCUGCCAUUUUUCCCUCACACUCAUUCAAAGAAAGCCAUUUACUUUCCUAACCUCCUCUUUUUAAUUAAUCUCCAAAAUUUCUUGUGCUUACCUAUUUCAUACAUAAUUACUCAUUUUCUUUCAAAGCAUGAUCACCUAAUUAUACACACCCACAAAGCGCGUGCUUCAACCCUAGUAUCACGUCAAUUGAAGAUCUGAUCGACAAGAUCUAUACAAUCACAUUGGUCAUAUGGUGUUAUCAAUUAAAGUUAGAAAUCUCUAACGAUUCUAACAAUUUUACAACUUAAUUAAGAUCAGUAUCAUGUCUUAAAAAAAAAACUUGGAUUGUGGGAUCAGAUUAUGUGAAUCCAAAUCGAGAAUAAUUUACCCACGGAUUCAGCUUGCCCAUCGUUCCGAAAGGCUUCAUCUCUCCAUUUAAGUCCGUCGCGAACUAACAACAACCAUGUGCGAAAAAAAGGUAAUAGGUCCAAUCUUUAGGCCCGACCUGCUCGACGAUCGCCUCUACUUUCGACAUCUUCCAUCUCGAACUUCAAUAAUUUAAUAUGCGAACGAUGAACUCAUGCGUCUAUAGAGCAAAAUUACCAGUAGAGGGGGAUGGCGCCACGGCCGUAGUAAGCAACGCCGGGAGUGCAUGGGUAGGUGUACUUGAAGGAAUCGUCGCAGUAGGACUGGCUCGGGCUCAUCUCCUUGUUGUAGCAGAGCCCCCACGCCAACGGCCCUCCGGUCGCCACUCCAUACCCGCCUGAAUUUCACGGCAAAAAUCGAGAUCAGAACACGUUUCGCUUGUGAGUGAAGUGAUCGAUGUGUGAAGUUCGGAGUCGGGUUUUCGCUUACAGGAUGUUUUGCUCCCAACGUGGCCGAGGAAGGCGGCGACCUCCUUCAUCGCGGUGACCUUCCCGCCGCUGGUCCCGAACCCAUGGGGCUGGUACUCCGCGGCUGCGGUGAUGAACGAGUGGUAGUCCCAGAAGCCGGCCGCGUGGGCCACGGGGGAGUUCCUCUUGGAGAAGAGGUUCUCGAACUGGUACGCCUGGAAGUAGUCGGAGAUG
This 61820-nucleotide long non-coding RNA is filed under the name Eucalyptus grandis. RNAcentral describes it as "long non-coding RNA (EGRA_LNC005217)". Lineage: Eukaryota; Viridiplantae; Streptophyta; Magnoliopsida; Myrtales; Myrtaceae. The record is from RNAcentral.